RNAcentral lists this long non-coding RNA (57538 nucleotides) under Jatropha curcas. RNAcentral's name for it is "long non-coding RNA (JCUR_LNC000577)". Lineage: Eukaryota; Viridiplantae; Streptophyta; Magnoliopsida; Malpighiales; Euphorbiaceae. The record is from RNAcentral.
CGUUGCAAGAAGCUGAAACAGCCAAUGUCAGAGUGGAUACUCAAUAGACUCACCUCUCUCACAAUCAGAGGGCCAUGUCCAAGUACAGAUAUGGAUUCCUUCCCAGAGGAGAAGGGCCUACUGCUUCCCUCUUCCCUAACCUCUCUUAAGAUCGAAGAUUUUAAAAAUCUGAAAUCAAUAUCCAGGGGCAUUCACCAUCUCACCUCUCUUGAUACAUUAGUAAUUCGAAAGUGCCCUAAACUCCAGUCCUUUCCCAAGGAAGGCCUUCCGAGCACGCUUGAAAGGUUGGCAAUCUUCGAGUGCCCCCUCCUGGAAAGACGAUGCAGAAAAGAGAAAGGAGACUAUUGGCGCUUUAUUGCCAAUAUCCCCUACCAUAAAAUAAAAUGAGGUAUAAUCUUUUUACUUUUGCUUGCAGCUUAAACUAUAACUGAUAUAUGCAACAUUUUGAAGCCAAAAUAGAAUAGAUAUAAAAAAAUUAAUUGCAUUCAAUUAUGUGGUGUUUCAAGUUUCAACCAUAUUACCACAUUCUGUUCAGAAUGGCGGUUGAGAAUGAAUUGGUGGUUGAGAAUGAAUUACAUGUUCUGUUCAGUUGGUUCUAACUCAUAAUGCAUAAAUUGGAAAAGUUUCUAUAGGUUUUAUUCUUUCAUUGUUCCGACACUGACAUGAGCUGAUUUUAUACAUAUCAAAUCUUGGCUGCAAAUAAUGCAAUUGUUUCUUCAGGUCUGCAAAAGCCGUGACUGCUUAGGCCAGGAUCGAGAUUGUCAUAAUCGUCUCAAAUCCAAUCCCUGCUGGUAAGGAUAACGGUUUCAUGGAUUCUUAGCAUUUCUAAUCCUAGGAGGGGUGUAUGGGGGAGGCCUGUUGGUCGGGUUUAGAUGGAUUAGUUAUGUUAAGUUUUUCAUGUUUUUAAUAAUAAAAUUUAAUUUUCAAAAAAAAAAAAAAAAAANNNNNNNNNNNNNNUCUUGUUUUUGCUACAUAUGACUACAAUGAGCAGUUGUUGACAAUUUAUCAGAGAAGAAUUCUGUUUCCUAUGUUGAGAUACUUAUAUGAGCAUAUUUGUUUAUUUAUUGACAAAGAUUUAAUGCUCUGGAAGUAUUAUUUAAAGUGAAGAAAGUUUACAGACAUUGGUUGAGAAUUUUUCAGAUGGAAAUUAUCCCUUUUUUUUUAACUGGAAUAGGGUCCGUCCUUCCUACAAAACAUCUAGUCAAGAGUCAACUGAUCUCAAAUGACUUGCUAUUCAUGCAAACAACAGCUCGUCUGCACUGAGAUGCAAAUAACUAUAUUGGCAAUGUGACUUUAUGGAGCAAAAUCUGAUUCUAAAUGAAAAAAUUACAUCAAAAUAAUCUGUAUGUUUCAAAAUCUAAUAAUAAUUUAUUUUCUUUUUCUUUAUGGUUUGUUGAUUAUGAAAUUUUUGGAAGAGGUUUGCCAAGAAGAGAGUGGUGAGUAAGUGAGAUUGUCUUGCAGGCUGAAAGGCAGGCACCUCAUGUCCAGCCCCUCUCACAGUAGCAUAAGUAAUGUCUCCUUUAUAAAUCUCAGUAUACCCACCAACUUGAAACACAAACAUUCAAACACAAACACAACCAGAAUUCUUAUAAUCUGAUGUUCUGUUAGAGUAUGAAAAGCCUACUCCAACAGGACACUCCAGAAACAGAACAUUUGCAACUGAAAAAAAAAAAAAAGAAAAAUUAAAAUUAAAAUAUGCCCAAAAAGAUUUAUUGAAAUGUGCAUGAGAAAUGUAAUUGUUGGCACACUAUUAAUUUAAAUUUUGAAAAUUAAUUUUUCAGAGGGAAUUCAUUAUUUUUUAUAAAUAUUAUUAUUAUUAUUACAAACAGAUAGUCCAAUUCUUUAAGUUAUUUCAAAAGUAAAAUAAUUAAGGAAUUACCAUUAUUCCAUGAAAAUCUGUUCUUGUAAAGUGUUUUGCCAUCACUAUAUACUCGAAAUGGUCCAAGCUCUUGCAUCAACCCAUAAGCCAGAGAUGAACAACCAGGGCCUGUAAAAAUAUUAAUGAUUGCUUUAAAUAACAGACAGUAAUAUUAUACAUUCAAAUUAAAAUUUAACAUAAUAAAAAGAAUACUAUUUUCAGGAAAUAAAUAAAUUUAGAACACAAAAGGGAGAAAAAUGGAAAAAGAAUACACUAAAUACCUCCAUUUAGCCACAGAAGAAGAGGCAAAGAUUUCUUAGAAAUUUCUUGAGCUUCAGCAAAAUAAUAAUAUAAGGCUUUUCCAGCUAAUUUAUCCACAGUAACAUAACCUCCAUAUUGUGAAAACUUAACUUGAGGUUGGCCAGCCAAUCUUUUGAUCCUAUCUUUUUCUUUAUCUUUUUCAUUUUCUUGAUUUAUAGUAAUAAUAGAAUCAAUUGUCCUAAAGUUGCUUGUGUCCAUACCAGAAUUCCCAUUAAGCUUGGAUUUGUAAAGAUUGCCAAGAACUUCACUUUGCCUCUUGCUAUGGCUCUGAGAUGUUAAAUAAGAAAAAAUGAAAAAGAACAGGAAUAUCAAACAUGGGUUUUUCCCCAUUGCAGGAAAAGGUUUUAGGGUUUUUGAUUUUUUGGAAUUUUGUUUCUUGAAUCCAAAUAAUGUGUUUAUAUAAGUAUAGGGGUGUGCGUGUGCGCAAUGGAGAGAAAGUAUCUAUAGAAGGAUUUUGUUUUCUGAUUUUCUAAUUUAGAUCAAUAUUAGUUAUUAUUCCCUCCAUCUUUUAAAAUUAUGCUUGUUUCUAUUUUCACGCAAACUAAUUAAAUGUAAUUAAUAUUUUUGAAUAAUAAAUUUGACCUAUAGGUAGUAGAGGGUAAAAGUUUUUAAUUUUUAAAACUAAAUAAAUAAUAAUUAAUAUUUCUUUGUUUAUUUUAUUUUUUUUAUCAGUUUCAUUUCAUCUGUGGCCAUUUGGGUAUUCUAUAAUGUUUUAUAAGAUUCUUUAUUGACUCAGCUAGUUAAUUAACUUUGUUUUCUAACUAUAUGAUUUACAGACAAGAAUUGCUAUGGCAUUGCCCCAUGCCUGUGUGAGCUGCUACUAUGUUUGUUAUGCAGAAAAUCCUGACAACAGAUUAUUCGAUAAAACAAUCAAAGAACGCCAAGAAUUGAUAAAAUCUGGCCGCGAUGUGGUGGUUCCGACGCCUAGAGUACCCCGGCGGUUUGCAUCAUAGUUCAUAAGCCAAGGCAAGAUUUUUCCAGGAAAAUGUGCAGAAGCAAAUUAAAAUUUGUGGUCACAGAUUGAACAUACUGUCAAAAAUGUACUAUUACUAUAGUCCCUUUCAAUUUGGGGUCCAGUAAUUCAGAAUUCAAGCUAAUCAAGCUAGAGAUGAGACAAUUUAACAUUAUCAUAUUUGCAUAUUCAUUUUAGGAUAUUCCUUAUUCCUUGAUUAAAGAGUUCCUCCAUUAUUUUAUUUAUUUAUUUAUUUAUUUUUGUUCAGUUUUAUGGUAAAUUAAAAACACUUGCCAUAGUUUAAUGUAAUUUUAGUAUCUGUUUAUGCAAUCUCCAUAUGAGUUGUGCAUUUUAUAUUAAUCAAUUCUUUUUUUUUUUUUCCUUAUCAUAGUUAAAGAAUUAAAAUAUGGGUUUUUCUUAAAUAAAAUAAUGCUUAGAACAGAAAUGGUGUGUUAGGUUUGCCUUCAUUAAAAUAUUGCACAAACUUAUCAAAAAUCAAAACAAAAUAAACUAAAAAGUACAAAAUAGACUAUUUUAAAAUACUUCAUGUGCAAUCGUAGAAUGAUUGAGAAAAUAAUUUUUUUAAAAAUUAUUAAAUUAAGUAUAAUCUGAUUGAUUUCGUAAUUUUUUUAAAAAUUAUUAAAUUAAGUAUAAUCUGAUUAAAUUUUUUUCACCAACACCAAGGAUGCAAGUUUUUUUUUUUUGGAUAAUUACUAUAUUAUCCUUAAAUUUUUAUUAAAUACAUUAAUAAGGACUUCGGCUUUCAAAAUUACACUAUUUAAUCCCUGUAUUAUAAUUUUGUUAUACUAUAAGUUCAAACAGUUAGUUUUUUUAUUAAGCAAUUAUGAAAUAUCAAACACCCUUGAAAGUAACUACUAUAUAAGGACUAAAUAGAGUAAACUUAUGAAAAUUGAGAUCUUUAUUAGUGUAUUUCAUCAAACCAUAAGGACUACAUAAUAAUUAUGUUUAGAGGUUAUUUUUGACAUUUCACAGUCACUUAAAGGAAAAAAUUAACAAUUGUAUUUUAUAGUAUAAUAAAAUUGUAAUGAAGGACUAAAUAGUAUAAUUUAAAAUACUAAUAUCCAUACAUAUUCGAGUAAAACCUAGAGACUACAUCGCAAUUGCUCCUUUUUUUUUUUUUUUUUUUUUUUUUUUCCUAAUUGAAAUUAUAUUAGAGUUCCUCAUCAAAUUAGCAACUUCUAAAUAUUCAAAACAGAAAGAUGAAAUGUUUUAUUGAAAUUUGAAUUUAUAAUGUAAUAAAUACCAUCAAGAAAGUCAUCUUCAAAAUUGCAUAAAGCCAUCUCUCUCUCUUUAAAAAGCCAAAAAAGGUUUGAACUUUGAAGGAAUACAUUGAAUAGGACAGGCACUGUGUAUGUAAUCAUAACAUAUAGGAAACUCUUCAAUUAUUGAUUAUUUCUUCCAUGCUCAAAAAAUGAAGAUUUUAUCUAGUGGGUUAUGGAGUAGAUUAGAGGCCAAGACUUUGACUUUUCAUUGCCAUUUUGACUGUUUGUAUUAUAUUCCAACUCUACAAAACAAGAAACAUAAAAUAAUUAAUGAAGCAAUAAAGCAGAGUCCUUUCCAUGAAUGUCUCUCUCAAAUAAAGGCCAAUUAGGUACUUUUUUUGUUUUUUCUUUUUUGAUGAUGCUAUGGCUAGAAGGAUUAGGUGGAGAAGGAAUAAUUUGGAACAUUAACAAUAUAGCAAGAGGAAAAUGCAAUUCAUUUUCCAAAUCACAUAUGCUAAUUUCUUUUGAUUUAACUAAUUAUGAAUGCUUGUUUUGAUUUAGCUAAUUACCAACGCUUGAAUUGAGAUAAUAUUUAAAUAAAACUCUAUUUUCAGUUGCAAUUUCAAAUUUCGAAUAUUGAUCUUAUUUUUUAUUUUAUAAUUUAUAAAAAUUACAAAAAUAUUUAUUGUCUUACAGUUCAUUACAAGAAUUAAAAAAACCUACAAAAAUUCGAAUGUUGGAAAUUAUUAAUGCUAUUUUUCACAUGAUUAAUAUUUUUUUUUUUUGUGCAAUAAGACAAUAACUAUUAAUAUUUCAUAUUUCAUUUAGGCAUAUGGCAAUCUAAUUUAUUUAUAUUUUAAUUUGAAAACUAAAUUAUAAAAAAGGUGGAUCAAUGCCAAUAUGCAUUCACCCAAGAAGUGCAUAUAAAAAUUAAUAAUCUCAAAAAAAUAUAUUAACAAAAAAAAUAAUAAAAAAGAUCAUUUACAUCAUGUAGAUACAUCAAGCGAAAAACUUUAGCAAAUUCUAUAAUCAUUACUACAACGAGUAAUAAAGUAUAAAUGAAAAUAAUAUAUAUAUAUUUGGAUGCCUCAUGCAAGUAUUAAAAGAAAUAAAAGCAAAGAAAUUUUUAAAUUUUGAAUUUAUUCCAAAUAUGAAAAAACCUAUAUUUGCAUUUCUAGUAUCAAUGAAAGAUUCUAGUAAAGAGAAACUGCAAAUUCGCAUGCAUGGAUUAGUUUAUUCUCUCAUUUCUUGAAUUUCCAUACUCUGAUGUACUUGCUAUUGUGUGUGGUAACCACCUUCUUCAUUCCAACAGCCAGGCAAGUGAUUGAAGGUCGAGCACUUCUAGGAAUUCGAUCAAUGUUGAUGUCACUAGGGAGUUUUCGCCCUUUUCUUCUUUCAAUUACUCCAUGUGCAUAUCUAGAGGAGCUUGAUGAGGUAUCAUGGUCGACAGUAUAGCUCGAGAGAACAACUCCUGAGUCCUGAUCCAGAAUACGCAGCACCCCGUCUAUUCCACCGGCUACUAAUGCUGAUUUGUCAUUUGUCAGGUGCUGCAAAGAAUAUAUAACAUUUGGACUCACUCGUGUCUCCCAUAAUUGUCUCAUCAUCCUGCAAGAUAACAAUAAAAAAUCAAAUUGCAACCAUGGGCAGGAGCUCCUAUAACAAAUAUGCCAUAGUCAGUUUCGACCUAAUACUGAAAUAAGGCAAGAACAAAAUCAAUUAUCAGAGCAGCCAUUUUGAUAAUCAACCCUACAGAGUAACAGGAUAAAGCCUCUGUCAUGUUUACUUCUGCUACAAACUAGCUAUGAUAGUACAAGUCCUAGAACCUAUAUCACAGUUUCGCUCUGGAAGCCUACUCAAUCUGUGUAUGGAUGACAGGAUACGUCACAAGCAAAUGUCCUAGCAGCAGAGUAAAGAAAAGAAAAUAGCUUGUCAAUAUCUCAUUCUACAUUCACAUAGAGCGCAACAAUGAAGGCCACCGACAAAAAUUUAGGCUGGGUCAGAAUUCAAAGUACACUAACUACCCAGUCAUCAUUUUUAACUCUGGCAGAAACAUCUAAUUUAGUGAUUGAAAUAUCCUACUUAUUGCUACCACAGAUAUUAUAUUACGGAGGAAUGAAAAAUAAAAGUUAUUCAUCUGGGAACAGUGAAUUGAUACCUGAGGUCCCAACAAGAUGUAUAUCCAGCUGUUGUUCCAGCAAACACUAGAUGAGAACGAGGGUUGAAACAUAAAGUCUUUAUGCCUGUACCAGGAAGUUGAAUCAGAAAUUCAGAAUUAUGUCAAGUCGCUUGUAAUGUGCAGUGCAUUAUUAGUUAAAGAGAAGGUGCAGUGGAAAAUUUAUCAUGUCUCAAACUGGCAGAUUAGGAAUCAAGAAAAGCACUCAGAGCCUGAAGAAGAAGCUGCAAGGAAACCACUGUUUUUUUCUUAUGAAUAUCUCAUCUGUUAUUAACCAAAAGGCAAGAAAGCAACUGCUUAAAAAAAGGAAUGAAAGAAUAACUGUAAAGAAUGCAAGAACACAUGAUGAGAAUGCAAUCAUAAUCGUAGUUAUUCUUGAUAGAGUGAAAAACAGUACGACCUGUAGAAUCAGUGGAUCUCAGUGUAGCUGCCCACUUAUCAGAUGAAUAACCAGACACCAUGAUCCUCCCUAGUGACGAACCACUAAGAAUUAACUGAUCAUCCCCCAAACAUAAGCAAGUCACAGGCUCUGGAUGCAUCCUACAAUUUGGAGAUGAAAACAUAACCAAAAAGAAUCCAUACAGAAAAAAAUCUUUAAAAAAAUGUAAGAAAUCAGGUUCUAACAUAACAACAACAUAAUAAGAAUACAGUCUACUGUCUUCUAUUUCGCAGGCAUUCUUCUACUAAACAAUUUAUUCAUUUGCCAGUGUCUAAUAGUCUAUCCAUUUUUCGCACACGUCCAGAAAUUGAAAUGGCUUUCCAAGAAUUAAUUGUCUGACCAUAACAGACCACCUUCUCUUGUAUGUUCACUCAAGUAAUAGAAUUUAACAUCCGAUGAUCUAAUGCACGAAGCAUCCGAUGUUUGUGGGGCUCUAGAGGGGGUUGAUGAAUAACAUCCAAGAAAAUUUUAGCUGUACAUACCUAAUGAUUUUAGAACAUUUCCUACUGUACAUAUCAAAAACACGAGCUGUCCCAUCCUCACAUCCAACAACAGCUUCUGGAUCAAAGUAACUUCAAGCAAAGAAUACAUCGAGUUAUUGGUCUGCUCAAAAGAAACCACACAACCUUGCACAAAGUUGAAGUCUCAAGACAAUUCAACUGUGAAAUAAAUGAAUAUAAAAUCCAGUAUUGCUCCAAGAAACAUUAGCAUAAUAACAAAAUUUGCUUCUGUCCCGCAUGCAUAAACCCUUCAUAAACGUGCCUUCACGAGAGGGAAAUGUAGUCAUCUUUCCAUUUCGCCUCCAUAAGCAUAUUCGUGUGCCAACCAAACCAACAAUCUACAAGAACAUGCAUUAAGCAAUUGGGAUAAAAACAGACACAUUACAUCAAUGCCUCCCAAUAUGAGAUACUUCAGAAUAAUGACAAAUUACUAAAGGUACCUUGCUCUCAUCAAAAUCAAAGUCAAUUAAGGGGCUUGCAUCUUGGAUUGAAUAUUCUUCCAUACAAUUGUAUGUUUCUAAUGACCAGAGACGCAUAACCUACCAUGAUAGCUAUACAAAAGUCAGCACAAUUGAGUUAUAUAACAUAUAUCACAUUUUGAUUUAGGAGAACAUCAGAGAUAUGCCACAGAAGCAAUCACAUCAAAAUAAGUUUAAGUUCUAGAACAAACAUAUAGCUAGCAAGUACUUUAGACAACUUUUACUGGUGUCAAACAUGACAUACGAAACAUUGUGUGUGUGUGAACAGGUCGAUAAUUAGACUAAAGUCAUCAGUAACAGUAGGUUAACGCCACCAUUUCAAAACUAUGUAAAAGAGAAGGUCACCAAAAAUUCAAAUGGAAGGAUAUUAAAAGGUGUGGAAUCCCACCAAUAUUUCUUUAAUUUCUCCCACUGCACCCGAUUUGUAAACGAAUUUUUUAAAACUAAUCCAAAUAAAUGAGCUUGUUAAUUCACAAACUAAUCCACUACUCCAAAAUUGAGGUUGGCUAAAUGAGAUUACAAUAUCUAGUCGUCUAUCCAAGAAAUCAAACAAAACACAAACUAAGAGCUUGUUUGGCAUAAAUGAAUUCCAUGAAAUUUCAUGGGAUUCAUUGACAUUUACAAAGCCAAUUUUUCAAAUUUGGUAUAAAUAAAAAUUCAUUUGGAAUUCCAUGUUUUAAAUUCUACAGAAUUGGUUUUUCUUGAACCAAAUGCUACAAAAAUUGGUAGAAUUUGCAAAUGAAUUCUCAACUUUAAAGGAACAGAAGUUACUAAAGGUAAUGAAGUUUAAGUACAAGACAUCAAAACAUAUUUAGAAUGAAUUCUAUGAAUGAUCCAAGCAUGAAUUUCCAUUUAUCAAUGAAUUUUUUUAAUGAAAUUCAUUUGCAAAAUGGAAUGAAUUCCAUAUGAAAAUUAUUCCAAAACUAUGUAACAGAAAUAGUAGAGAGUCAUCCAAUAGAAUCUGCUUUAAUAAAAGGGUAAAUAACAAAUAUGACUUAUAAUAAAAAACCCACCUAUCAGACACCAUAUUUAAUUAAAAAAGUGAUCAUACCUUGUCCCCCACGCCAGUAAGAAGCAAGCCCAUCUUCAUUCGACACUGAUCAACCCUAAUACAAAGCAAGGUUAGAGAAUUAACAUAUACAAGCUGCAAACUCCUGCAUAUAUAUACCCACUAAAUAAACCCCACAUAUUACUCAAAAAAAAAAAAUCAACCUUUUAUUAUUUCGUCAUCUUUCCAUAAUAAAUUUGAUACCAUUUUUAUCAACUCAACAGAAAAAUAAACAUAAAAUUGUAUUCAGCUGAAAAUUAGCUGACAAGAAAAUAAAUGGGAAGAAAAAAAAGAAGAGGAGAAUUUCAAUAAUUACCCAAGUGAAUGGCCUUUCCAUUGGUCAAUAUCAACAGAAGAAGCUUGAACUAAAGAUUGUCUAUGAUGCUUCAUAGCUAGCUCCUCAAAGUACAUAUUUAAAGUCCUCUCUGAACCGCCAUCAAUAUUUGAAAUUCCUAAAUAAUUAUCCUUCUGCUGCUUCAAAUAAAGCGCUUGCAGUAACUUUGAUCCUUUGAUUAUUGUAUUCCUUUAAAUGCAUAAAAGAGAAUAAAAAAUAAAACAAAAUUAUACACAAAUAUUUGGGGAAGGCAGAGAGAAGGAGAGUAAAACAGAAUUUACCAAGAUUUGCAGACAGCAGAACAGCGAACGAGGUCAAAGAGGUCCAGGACUGAGAAUAUUAUGCAAAGGAUGUCAUGCUCCAAAAAUUGGAUAGUGGUCGGACCUCUCCAGCUCCUCUUCUUCGCCGGCGACCGCUUUCCGCCUGGUGUGGGGCUCAUUAUCUUCUCUGUGAACUGGGUUAAUCAAAUCAUAGAAGAUCAGAGGAAACGAGCGACUGAAAAUCUCACAAAGCUGGAAGGGUGAACGUCGGCAACGACACAAUAAACACGCUCACAAAAUAAACCCAAUAUCAGAUGUAUUGUCGUUUUUAGGUAAUAUAAUUUAUGAGUUUAAACAAAAAGAAAAAUACUAUUUAGUCCCUAGAAUUUCUAAAAUAAAUAUUUCAAUAUAAUAAAAAAUUAAAUUUUUAUUUAUCUAUGUAGUGCAAAAUUUAGAACGAAAGUGAGAAAUUGGGAUGUCUAAAUACAAGUAUAACAAACUGCCAAGCACAGGAUAUUUUUAAUGGUUUACUCAAAGUAAAUGCUUUCUUUACCAUUAACAAUUAUGCAUUUUAGGUCAAACACAAUACCCGUGAUUCAUCACAAGUAACGAAGAGUAUUUGAUUCAGUCAAUUUGGUUAAUUCGAUUGAUUCGGUUAAUGAGAUCGAUUUGGACCGAUGAAUAAAUAUUCGAUUAGAAGUUCGAUUAUUGAAAAACUAAUGCAGGAGCCGCGAGUUCUAAGGGAUAACUUUUAUUUCCCUCAGAGAACUUCAACUCCCCUUCUUUCAGUAGAUAAUUGGCUAUUUCUUUCUCGUUUUAUCCCUAUAGUCUAGGCAGUGGAUUAACAAGCAUUAUGCUUUGCUUUGUCUACCAAUUCCUGUAACUCCAGUUGAAAGAUGAGACAAGACUCUUAUUCUCCUCCCAUCUAUAUACCACAUGUGAUUAUGGGUUAAAGGUUAAAUUAAAAAUUAAUUUAACUGAAUUAAUUAAAUUAAUCAACUUUCAAAAUUAAGUCGUUUGAUUAAGUAUAUAAUAAAAUUAAAAAUAUUUUAUUUUUUAUUUUAAUUAAAUAGUUAUUAAAAUGGUUAAAUUCGGUUGAUUAAUCAAGUUUUCAUUUUAUUUAAUUUCAGUUUAGUUAAUUAAUUCCACCAAAACAGUUUGGUUAAGCAAAAAAAAUUUCAAUUAAUUUAGUUAAAUUAAUGAUAAAAAUUAAUUCGAUUAAAACUGUUCAAUUAAAAAUUAAUUCGAUUAAUUAAAUCAAACUAAAAAUUUCAGUUAAAAAUAUUACUUAAAUACACAAUUAGCGAAAUGCUGACCCGUAAAUUCACAAAUUACGAAAUCGUUUUCUUUUUUAUUUUUUCAAAAAUUUCCUUUUAAGUUUUAUCAAAUAGAAAAAAGAAAUUUUUUCAUUUUUUUUUAUUGAAACUUUUUUAAAUUCUUUAACUUUACAUGAAACAAAGGAUAUGUUUUUUCUCCUCUGGACAUUUUUAUUGGGUGGACAACAAUCCUGUUAAAGAUUGUCUUGUCAACUUCAAUUUGGAUAAAUGGGACCGCAAAUACCAGAAAAAGCUGUUUUCUUCACGUGUUUAUGAAAGUUACCAGAGAGUAGGAAGAAGAAAAUAAAUUGGUAUUGUACAAGAGUUAAAGUAAACGUCCUUUCUUGAAGAUUACAUAACUCUUCUUGGCCAUUUUAGCUUCUCGCUUUCAGUCACCAACCAAUUUUUUUGUUUGCUAUUGCAUCUUCCUUCCUUUGGAGUCUUUGAUAUUGCAACUCCCGUUUCAAUCACCAACCAAUUCUUCAACUGCUCGAAUUUUCUGCUGAAAAUUUUGGUCAUCCUCUCUUAAUUUGUGAUGGAAAUUGCAGUUGCUAUUGGAGGUGCUCUUCUAGCACCUGCCUUUGAGUCUUUGUUUCAUAAGUUAGGCUCCCAGGAUUUGCUCAAUUAUGCCCGUGAAGGACAUGUGCUGACUGAAAUCAACAAGUGGAAGGAGAUGUUGAAGAUCAUUUAUGGGGUUCUUGCGGAUGCAGAGGAGAAGCAGAUGGUGAGCAGGGCGGUGAAGACGUGGGUAAGCCAGUUGAGGAACCUGGCAUAUGAUUUGGAGGACAUUCUUGAUGAGUUUGAUUUUGAGGCUCGGCGAUCCAAGUUGAAAGCUAAACCUGUGACUGGUUCAAGUAGGGUACGAAAGCUCAUCCCUAAUAUUCGUGCUGUUAAAUUCAAUAGAGAGAUGGUUUCCAAGAUAAAGGGAAUUAGUUCCCAAUUAGCAAAGAUCACCUCACAAAGAAAUGAACUAGAUUUGAUAGAAAGUACCGGUAGUUUGAAGGAAAGAAUUCCUGCGACGUGCUUGGUGAAUGACGCCGAGAUUUAUGGGAGGGAGAAAGAUAAGAAGGCGAUUCUUGAACUUUUGAAUUCUGAAUCGACUGAUGGAAGGGUCGCUCUGAUUUCUAUAAUUGGACUGGGAGGUAUUGGUAAGACAACUCUAGCGCAGCUUAUCUUUAAUGAAGCUGGAAAGAAGUUUGAUUUGACGGCUUGGGUUUCUGUCGGUGAAGAUUUUGACGUGGUUAGACUUACAAAAAUAGUUCUUCAGUCGGUUGGUGGAGAUCUUACUUCCAACGAUUUUAAUUCGCUUCAAUUAAACUUGAAGGCAAGGCUGUCGGAGAAGAAGUUUUUUAUGGUUCUAGAUGAUGUUUGGUACGAGAAUUAUGACCAUUGGACAGACUUUCUUCGCCCGUUUGAGAAUGGGGCAAAAGAAAGUAGAAUUAUCGUCACAACUCGCAAUCUUGGCGUUUCACGGACGAUGGGUGCUAUUCAAAGUUAUACACUUAGAGUGUUGGAGAAUGAUGAUUGCCUGUCUGUGUUUGCCCAUCAUGCUCUUGGAGUAACAAAUUUUGAGGAGCACUUGGAUCUAGAAGCAACAGGUAAGAAGAUUGUGGAAAGGUGUCAAGGCUUACCUUUGGCAGCUAAAGCUAUUGGAGGUCUCUUACGAGGUCAACCAACUCGUGAUGCAUGGGAACAAGUGCUAAACAGCGGCAUUUGGGAGGAGAAAAGCGACAUUCUUCCAGCAUUAAAGUUGAGCUAUCACCAUCUUCCAUCUCAUCUGAAACAAUGUUUUGCUUAUUGUGCAAUUUUUCCAAAAGAUUACGAAUUCGAUGAGGAUGAGUUGGUUCUACACUGGAUGGCAGAGGGAUUUCUACAGCACGCACAGGAAAUGAAGCAAAUGAAACGCUGGGGUCAUCGAUAUUUCCAGGAUUUAUUAUGGAGAUCCUUUUUUCAACAUUCUACUGGCAAUAAAUCACGAUAUGUAAUGCAUGACCUACUCAAUGAUCUAGCUAAAUCUGUAAGUGGAGAAAUACGCCUCCAUUUGGAUGAUGAUGAGUUGAAGGGCAUAAAAUCACAUGCAAACGUUCGCCAUUCAGCGUUCGUUUGUCAUCAGUAUGACAAGUAUCAAAGAUUUGAAGACUUUUAUGAGAUGAGUAAUCUGCGAACAUUCUUAGCAUUAUCCACUGAUCGAUGGCGAGGGAAUUUUUUAUCUAUUAGAGUGGUGCAUGACCUAGUGCCAAAACUGAAACGUUUAAGGGUGCUAUCACUAGCUCGAUACCAGUUUGAAGAGUUGCCAAGUUCAAUUGGCGCCUUAAAGCAUUUACGAUAUCUUGACUUGUCUUACAACAGUGAGAUUAAAAGAUUACCUAAUUCACUGAGUGAUCUUCAAAACUUGCAGACACUGAAGUUAUGUGAGUGUCGGAAUCUUAUUGAGUUGCCCACAGGCAUUGGCGCUUUAAUCAAUUUGAUGCACCUCGAUCUUAAAGGCACGGAUGCUUUGCAGAGGAUGCCGUUGGGGGUAGCUAAUUUGAUAAAUCUUCAAACAUUGUCGAAGUUUAUCGUGGGAAAAGGAAGUAAUUGCCUUGGAAUUAGAGAGCUAAUGAAGCUCCCUCAUCUAGAAGUACAACUUCGUAUUGAAGAGCUACAGAAUGUGGCAAGGAUUGAAGAUGCGAAUCUCGUUGAUUUAAAGAAGAUUGAGAAUCUUGGUGAUUUGGCUUUGGUAUGGGCCCAUAAAUUGCGUGAUUCACCACGCGUAGAGGAUCAUGAAGUCCAGUUUCUCAACUUGCUAGAACCUCAUCAAAAGUUGGAAAGGCUUUCGGUUCAAUUUUAUGGCGGUAAGCAAUUUCCGUUGUGGAUAGGAGAUCCUGCAUUCACAAAUAUGGUGGAUCUAGAGCUCUUUAAUUGUCGGAAUGUUACGUCGCUGCCACCACUAGGUAGACUAUGUAAACUGAAAAAGCUGAGCUUCAAAGGCAUGGAUGAACUGCUAGAAGUAGGGCUUGAGCUUUCCCCGUCUCUUGAGAUUCUAGAAUUUACGGAUAUGUUGAAGUUGAAGCAAUGGGCUCACUCUGAUGACGUCAAUGAAGAGGUUACAAGAAAAUUUCCUAGAUUACGUGAAAUUAGGAUAAGGAAUUGUCCUAAAUUGGUUGUGACAUUGCCUACCUCCCUUCCUUCCCUUGAGCAUUUGGACAUUGAUGGAUGUCAAGAUAUUAUUCUCGAAAGUGUGCAUGAUCUAUGUUCCCUUCGAGCCUUGUCCAUUUGGAGUAUUUCAGCGCUUGAGAAUUUACAUCAAGUGGUUACGCAGUCCUUGGUGGCGCUAGAGUAUCUGUGGAUUACUGAUUGCAGCCAAUUGAUACACCUGUGGCGGGAUUCAACUUAUUUUGACAAACUUUCUUGCUUGAAAUCUUUACAGAUCCAAGGGUGUCAGAAGCUAGUGUCGUUGGUAGGAGGAGAGGAAGGGAAUUUGCCUUGCAAUCUUGAAAUUUUGUCGAUAUGGGACUGCGAUGAAUUGAAGAUUCUGCCAAAUGGGUUGCAAACCCUCACAUCUCUUAGAGAGCUGAAAAUCCUUCAGUGCCGAAACCUUGUGUCCUUCCCAUCUGCAGGUUUACCUUGUAGUCUUAAAAGUCUCGAAAUCAAAUAUUGUGAUUCUCUGGAGUCCUUGCCUAAGGGCAUUGUGCAUGAUAGUAACGCCAGGAAUGAGAUGUCUCAUCUUGAGGUUGUGCGUGUCAAAGGAUGUCCAUCUCUUACAUCGCUUCCAAUUGGUGAAUUUCCCUAUUCAAUUAAAAAUAUUGAAAUUUGCUUUUGGACGACACAACUUUUGGAUUCAUUUCAUAAUAGGUUCUCGCAUCUCACCGAAUUAGCAAUAGAUGACUCUCAGUUGGAGUCUUUCCCAGAAAGUGGAUUGGCCAUCCCCAACCUUUGCCAUUUAACCAUCGCCAACUGUCGGAAUUGGAGGUUGCUUCCCAAUCAAACCCCAAACCUUACUUCUUUAUCCAUAUGGCAUUGUGAGAAUUUGAGAUUUCUUCCCAAUCAAAUGCAAAAUCUUACAUCUCUUCAACGUUUAGAAAUACAUUACUGUGGAGGUCUUGUGUCCUUUCCAGAUGGCGGUUUACCCCCAAAACUAGGUAGUCUUAUAAUCUCGCAUUGCGAGAAUCUGAAACAGCCAAUGUCAGAGUGGAUACUCAAUAGACUCACCUCUCUCAUAAUCAGAGGGUCAUGUCCAAGUACAGAUAUGGAUUCCUUCCCAGAGGAGAAGGGCCUGCUGCUUCCCUCUUCCCUAACCUCUCUUAAGAUCGAAGAUUUUAAAAAUCUGAAAUCAAUAUCCAGGGGCAUUCACCAUCUCACCUCUCUUGGUGAUUUAAUAAUUCGAUAUUGCCCUAACCUCCAGUCCUUUCCCAAGGAAGGCCUUCCGACCACACUUGGAAGCUUGACAAUCCAUAGGUGUCCCCUCCUGGAAAGACGAUGCAGAAAAGAGAAAGGAGACUAUUGGCGCUUUAUUGCCAAUAUCCCCCAUUUCACAACUGAAUAUUCCAAACUCUAGAGGGAAUAGAGAAUGAAGGGAGCCCUGAAAUACAAUGAGGUAUUAAUCUUUUUACUUUUGCUUGCAGCUAAAACUAUAACUGAUAUAUGCAACAUUUUUAAGCCAAAAUAGAAUAGAUAUAAAAAAAUGAAUUGCUUCUGUUCAGAAUGGCUGUUGAUAAUCAAUUGGUGGUUGAGAAUCAUGAGUUCAUUAUAGCUAAAACUACAGGUCGUCUGCACUGAGAUGCAAAUGACUUGCAUUUGCAAGUGAAUUUGAGAUUUUAUAAGUAACUAUAAUGGCAAUGUGACUUUAUGGAGCAAAAUCUGAUUCUGAAUGAAAAAAAUUACAUCAAAAGAAUCUGUAUUUUUCAAAACCUAGUAAUAAUUUAUAUUCUUUUCUUUUGCUUUGAGGAGGCAAAUUUUUUUUCUUUUUCUUAUGAGACUGACCUAUAAACCAAGAUUCUUACUCCAUUUUCCAUGAACUCCUUGAGCAAGGGAAGAAUUGUUGAAGGGCUAUCUGUCCACCUAUCAAUAAUAUCACUACAUGGUUCCCAAUCAUGAUCAAGCUUAGUGACAUUGGCAUGCAAAGCUUCUUGCACAUCAGCCCUAUUGAAAUAAGCAUGCACAUAAUAGUCACUGCAUGGAUCAAAAUUAUCCAGCUGCAAGAUAAAACAAACCAAUUUUAGUUAUAUAUAUAAAAUCACAUUUCUGCAUCUAUAAAAAAAUUGUGUUAAUCAACUUACUGAAGCCUUCUUGGGGUGAGCUGUAAUAUUCUCAUCAAAGCACAAAGGAGCAUUAAUGUUAUAAAUGUCAACAGCUUGAGAAUAUUUGUCAGCCUUCUCAGUAGCUUCUCUGCACUCUUUGCAUGGAUGGUUGAUAUACUUGGGUGAGAAAUUACAGUGUUUUUAUAUUUUUUGCAGUGUUUUUGGUGAAGAUAAAACAUGGGUUGUAAAGAAAGUAUACAUUCCUAGAGUAUCUGUUUCAUCAUUUAUCACUGCAUUUCCAAUCUGCAUUUUCACAGAUAUAAACAUACGGUUAGCUUCAAUUUCAAUAAUUUAUAUGCACGGAAACUUCUAGCCAUGAACGUUUUAUGUUUCGGAAACGUUUCCACUUUUCCAGUAUAAAAUACCGUUUUUCCGAGUAAAAUUAUGUUUUAUAUGUUAGAAAGGCACAUACUGCAAUUCCUUUGAGGUUGAUAAUGGUUUUGUUGGCCUUCUUGUUGUAGUAAAGGAUGGUAUGUGCAAGCUGAGGAACAUAAUGGCCUGCAUAGCUUUCUCCAGAAAUGUAGAAAUCUCUUCCUUUAUAUUCUGGAAAUCUUUGAAGCCAAUUUACCAAAAACAAAUAAUUUUCUGUUGCUGUAUGUCUAUCNNNNNNNNNNNNNNNNNNNNNNNNNNNNNNNNNNNNNNNNNNNNNNNNNNNNNNNNNNNNNNNNNNNNNNNNNNNNNNNNNNNNNNNNNNNNNNNNNNNNNNNNNNNNNNNNNNNNNNNNNNNUUAAAAUAUGCCCAAAAAGAUUUAUUGAAAUGUGCAUGAGAAAUGUAAUUGUUGGCACACUAUUAAUUUAAAUUUUAAAAAUUAAUUUUUCAGAGGGAAUUCAUUAUUUUUUAUAAAUAUUAUUAUUAUUACAAACAGAUAGUCCAGUUCUUUAAGUUAUUUCAAAAGUAAAAUAAUUAAGGAAUUACCAUUAUUCCAUGAAAAUCUGUUCUUGUAAAGUGUUUUGCCAUCACUAUAUACUCGAAAUGGUCCAAGCUCUUGCAUCAACCCAUAAGCCAAAGAUGAACAACCAGGGCCUGUAAAAAUAUUAAUGAUUGCUUUAAGCAACAGACAGUAAUAUUAUACAUUUAAAUUGAAAAUUUAACAUAAUAAUAAUAACAAUAAAAAGAAUACUAUUUUCAGGAAAUAAAUAAAUUUAGAACACAAAAGGGAGAAAAAUGGAAAAAGAAUAUAUUAAAUACCUCCAUUUAGCCACAGAAGAAGAGGCAAAGAGUUCUUAGAACUUUCUUGAGCUUCAGCAAAAUAAUAAUAUAAGGCUUUUCCAGCUAACUUAUCCACAGUAACAUAACCUCCAUAUUGUGAAAACUUAACUUGAGGUUGGCCAGGCAAUCUUUUGAUCCUAUCUUUUUCUUUAUCUUUUCCAUUUUCUUGAUUUAUAGUAAUAAUAGAAUCAAUUGUCCUAAAAUUGAUAAAGCUCCGGCCUCGCUUCCUCUCUCUUCUUUCUUUUCUGGCGUAUACAGAAGGCGCAGGAGAGCCGCGACUUCCUUCGAUCCGGAAAUCCCGGCNNNNNNNNNNNNNNNNNNNNNNNNNNNNNNNNNNNNNNNNNNNNNNNNNNNNNNNNNNNNNNNNNNNNNNNNNNNNNNNNNNNNNNNNNNNNNNNNNNNNNNNNNNNNNNNNNNNNNNNNNNNNNNNNNNNNNNNNNNNNNNNNNNNNNNNNNNNNNNNNNNNNNNNNNNNNNNNNNNNNNNNNNNNNNNNNNNNNNNNNNNNNNNNNNNNNNNNNNNNNNNNNNNNNNNNNNNNNNNNNNNNNNNNNNNNNNNNNNNNNNNNNNNNNNNNNNNNNNNNNNNNNNNNNNNNNNNNNNNNNNNNNNNNNNNNNNNNNNNNNNNNNNNNNNNNNNNNNNNNNNNNNNNNNNNNNNNNNNNNNNNNNNNNNNNNNNNNNNNNNNNNNNNNNNNNNNNNNNNNNNNNNNNNNNNNNNNNNNNNNNNNNNNNNNNNNNNNNNNNNNNNNNNNNNNNNNNNNNNNNNNNNNNNNNNNNNNNNNNNNNNNNNNNNNNNNNNNNNNNNNNNNNNNNNNNNNNNNNNNNNNNNNNNNNNNNNNNNNNNNNNNNNNNNNNNNNNNNNNNNNNNNNNNNNNNNNNNNNNNNNNNNNNNNNNNNNNNNNNNNNNNNNNNNNNNNNNNNNNNNNNNNNNNNNNNNNNNNNNNNNNNNNNNNNNNNNNNNNNNNNNNNNNNNNNNNNNNNNNNNNNNNNNNNNNNNNNNNNNNNNNNNNNNNNNNNNNNNNNNNNNNNNNNNNNNNNNNNNNNNUGCAAACCAGUGGAUAUAUUAUGGGUAUUGAGUAGAGAAUUUUGAAUUCCUUGAGCUAGCAGCAAUGAAUUAGUUGGUCCCUUGAAUUUUAUAGUGUUUAGGAUGAAUAUGUGAAGUUGUAAACUAAGUUCUAGUAGGGUAGUGAGUUAGCUAGUGUGUAAAAUAUGAAAAUAACUUUUGGAUUUGGCAGCAGUUAUUUCAGUUUAUUUUUGUAAGUAAUUUUCAGCUUUCUUCUUCAUGCUAUGUGAUUUCUUGCGACUAGAUUAAAGAAUUUGAGCUUGGAUGGUAGUUGUGAUGGAGUUAGGGAUCUUAAAUACUGUUUAUGCGAGAUUAUUGAAAUAAAUUCCCAAAAUUUAUGCUGCCAUUGAUAUUAUAAAUUGAAUUUCUAUGAAGUAUAGUAUAAGAAUGUAACACUUGAAGAUAUAGACUUGAGAUUGAGCAUGAAUUUCUGUUUGUGAAGAGCCUUGGGAUUCAAAAAUGUGCUUAAAAUAAUUUGGGAAUUUUGAUAUUAAUCUCUAAUUGAAAUAUAAACUGAGAUUUAAUGUAAAAAUUGUUAGUUUAUAUGAAUUAAUAACCCCUUAGAUGGCAGUAGUUAGAUGGUUAUUUGUAUGAGUUUUGUUAUGAUAAGAAGCAAGUGAUGUUUUAUAUCUGUUUCUCGGUGGAAAUGAAUAAGUUACUUUUUUGUAAUGGCAGCAGCUAUGUUACUUUUUUUUUUUUUAUGAGUUUUGAUAAUAUUAAGAUGAGAACUUAUGUUGCAUAUCUGAAUCUUGGUGGAAAAUAAAACAAUUAGCUUAUGUAUUACAGGGGCCAAUCGCAAACUUUGCUAUUGUUCCUUAAUGGAAGUAUAACCUGGAAAUUGCAAAUGGAAUAAUAAUUACAUAUAGUUAUAUUAGAUUUUGAUUUAGCGAUUGAGAAAUUUUUUUGCAACGGCAACAGCCAUUCUUGUAAUUUGCUUGGAUUAUUGUCUUGAUAUGAGUUAUAUGAUGUUGUGAGUGAAUUUUGUGAUGGGGAAUGAAUUAAUUAUAUACGGCGUAUGAGUUUGGUGAAGUAAAACGAUGAUUUCUUGAAAUUAGAGGUAGCUAAGUGAGUAUUUCCCUAAUUAUGGAUUGUAGCAAGUCAAGAUAUUAGGUGCUUUAGUUAGUUUCACAUUGGUUACAAGAUAUUGGAAGUAGUUUCGUUUGGAAUAAGAUUUAAUCAUAAUAUUCUCAUUCUUUGUGACUGAAAGGAAAAAGGAAGACAUAAAAAUAGUUGAAUGUGAAUUGGAAUUUGAAAUUUUCAUUUUUAUUUUUAGAAUAGUAGCUUGAUGCAUUUUUAUUUGUUAUUUAUUUAGUUAGAUAAGAGAAUGAAUAUCAUACUUAUAUUUUUAGUACAAUAUGAAGGGAAUAGAAAUGUCUGUUUUUGUUAACUAGGCUAGUUAAAGCUAAUUGUGUAAAUAUGCUUAUAUAUAUAUAUAUAUACACAAGGAUUAAUAGAUGAUUUUAUUUAGAAUAUAAAUUAAAUUUUCAUUAAGAAUGUAAAUUAAAAUUUAUGAAGAAGUUGUGAUGGUUGGAUGACGAUGUUGGUAUUAAGAGGAGGUUGGGUAUUUGAUUUGAUUGAAUACCCAAUAGAUGGACUGUGUGUAUUGAUUGAAAAUAUUUGACAUUAUUAUGAUAUUUAAUCAGGUGGAAACUCCUAUUUUUAGGGGAGGUUCUGCUAAAAUUUCUGAUACGGAUCCGCCAUCAUUUAUCCAUGGAGCUCAAAGGAACAAGGAGAACAACAUGGAAAAUCCAUUAGUGCUUCCUAGUGGAUCAAUUACAAGAAGUUAUGCAAAGAAAUAUGGAACAACCAUAUCUUUAUACAUUCAAGAACAAGCUAUACAAGAGCUCCAUGACAUUGCUUCCAACAAGUGCUGUGUAGAACUUCAAGACAGACCUAAAAUUCUUGCACUAAUUGAAGCAUACGUUGAGGAAAACAAGAAGCAUGCCCGUGCUAGUUGGCACACCCAGACCGUGCUAGAGUCUGACUUGAGGAAGGAAAGCAAUAGCAUGAAGCACGCCCGUGCCAAACAGCACGCCCAAACCGUGCUACAUUAGCACGCCCGUGUCGGAUAGCACGCCCAGGCCGUGCCAGAGUCUGCCUCCAGCAAGAUUAGUUAGUUUAUUUUGAGUUUUAACAAUGUUAAUGGGUUGGGCCUCCUAUAAUUUGGCCACCUUUGGUUAUUUUAUCCUUAUUUUGUUUAGAUUUAGCUAAUCUUUAGUUAGUUAGGAUUUGUUAUUCCUAAAUCCUUAAAUUGUUGAGGUUUGUUACUCUUAUCCUUAGUUGGUUUAGAUUAGCUAAAUCCUUAUCCUUAGUUGAUUUAGAUUAAUUAUUCUAAAUCUUUAAGGAUCAGGACCUCUUAGAUUUAGUAUAAAUAGCUUGUUAUAUUGUAAAACAAAACACAAUUCAAUGAAAUAGAAAUUCUUCAAAUUUGUUCAUGCUUAGGCAUGUUCCUUUCAUUAGAGAGAUUGUGAGAGUGCAUUACUCUAAUUGCAUCAAGAAUCAAGGUAAACUUAUCAAUUUAUUUGUGGCGUUUAUCUUAUUCUUUUACUCUAUUAUUGGUGUUCUUGCUUCUUUAAGCUUUGGGUGCCAUAGAGGGGGAGUCUAGUUUGAUCUUUGAUCUCUUCCAAAUCUUAUCAUAGAGUUCUUGGAAUUAAUUUUCAUAGGGUUCCGCGUCAAUUUCUACAAAAUCUUGAAUAGUCAUACUUAAUAAAUAGGUUAUUAGAUUUAUUUAGAAUGAUUUCUUAUUCUGAUUAGGAGGAAUUCUUUAUUUAAUUUUUCUCCCCUUUCAAUUCUAAUUCAUAUAGAUAAUUCAAGAUUGUCUUAUGCUUUGAAAAAAAAAAAAAAAAAAAAAGAACUACAAUUAGAGUAUUCCCUUUCUUAUUGCCGCGAGUUAUAAUAAAUAGUAUAUUAUCAAUUGCAUCGUGUAUACAUACAUUAUUAUAUAAUAUUACAAUUUCUUGCUUAUUUAAUUAUUAUUUAUUUAUUUAUUUAGUUUAUAGUGUAAAUAUCCAUUAUUUUGCACUUGACUUAUAUAUGUGUAUAUUUGAACAUUUGCAUAACAAUGUUUGUUUAUUUAAUGUGCUUGCAUUUGAAUGCAAUGUUUAAUUGGAUGUGUUGUGAUGAUGAUAUGCUUUGUUUGCGUGGAAUUGAGACGAAGUGGGUCACCAUUGGGUUUUUUAGGGCGGUCUACGAUACCGUCAGUCAUAUACGGGGAGAUCGGCGCAACCGUGUGCAUCUGAUGAUAUGGAUUAUAUGAAAAACCACAGGGUGACCUCCUGUUGGUAUAGAAAGAAAAGAGAGCAUAAAAAAAAUUAGUGGGCUGGUCAAGUGAGAAUUAGACCGAUCGGCCAUGUAUGAGGAUCGGCCAUGUAUGAGGAUGAGACCAGUUGGCCAUGUAUUAGUGGUUGACAAUAAAUUACAUGUUCUGUUCAGUUGGUUCUAACUCAUAAUGCAUAAAUUGGAAAAGUUUCUGUAGGUGUUAGAAGUUGAAGAAUCUCACCUCUCACCUUGCAUAUAGAUGACAUUUUCUCAUGUCAGUACUUGAGUACUGCUAUUAUAGCUUUUGUUCUUCAUUGUUCCGACACUGACAUGAGCUGAUUUUAUACAUAUCAAAUCUUGGCUGCAAAUAAUGCAAUUGUUUCUUCAGACUUUCGGGACUGCUUAGGCCAGAACUCGAGAUUGUCAUAAUCGUCUCAAAUCCAAUCCCUGCUGAUAAGCAUAAAACUUUGAUGGAUUAUUUUCGAUGUUUUUGGUUUCUACAAUCUACAACUGUAAUUUUAUAAAGACUGCUAUUAGUUAAGCUUGCAAAGUUUGGUGAGAUACUCCAAAUUUUCUAUUGAUGUUUUAUUUUCAGAUGUUAUUCAGCCAGGUAUUUUCACUUGGCAUUUCUAAUCCUAGGAGGGGUGUAUGGGGGAGGCCUGUUGGUCGGGUUUAGAUGGAUUAGUUAUGUUAAGUUUUUCUGGAUGAUGGCUUUAAUAAUAAAAUUUAAUUUUCAAAAAAAAAAAAAAAAAAAAACACCGAUCUUGUUUUUGCUACAUAUGACUACAAUGAGCAGUUGUUACCAAUUUAUCAGAAAAGAAUUCUGUUUCCUAUGCUGAGAUACUUAUAUGAGCAUAUUUGUUUAUUUAUUAACAAAGAUUUAUCAGAGAAGAAAGUUUACAGACAUUGGUUGACAAUUUUUCAGAUGGAAAUUAUCCUUUUUUUUUUUAAACUGGAAUAGGGUCCAUCCUUCCUACAAAACACCCAGUCAAGAGUGAAUUUGAGAUUUUAUAAGUAACUAUACUGGCAAUGUGACUUUAUGGAGUAAAAUCUGAUUCUGAAUGAAAAAAUUACAUCAAAAGAAUCUUUACGUGUCAAAACCUAGUAAUAAUUUAUUUUCUUUUUCUUUUGCGUUAAGGAGGGAAAUUUGAACUAGAAUUUAUAGUCAGGUUAUAUAUUUAUUUACCACUACUCUAUUACGGCUUGUUGCGCAUAAAUCCAAUAAACUUAAGCCUAAUAAUUUGGCUAUUGUUUAUAAUAAAUUAACACAAUAAAAUUCUAGUAAUAAAAAAAAAAAUUGAGUUACAUAAAUUAUGAAAUUUUUGGAAGAGGUUUGCCAAGAAGAAAGUGGUGAAUAAGUGAGAGUGCUCUUGCAGGCUGGAAGGCAGGCACUUCAUGUCCAGCCCCUCUCACAGUAGCAAAAGUAAAGUCUCCUUUAUAAAUCUCAGUAUACCCACCAACCUGAAACACAAACAUUCAUCCACAGCAAAAAUAUUUAUUUCAAUUUCUUUAUUACAAUUUAUGAAUUAUAUAAUUAAUUAAAAUUUAAUAAAUAAUUAAUUUACCUCCCCAUUAAGGUAUCAAGGGUACCAUUCAGUUUUAAUAGGAAGCUUCAACUUUNNNNNNNNNNNNNNNNNNNNNNNNNNNNNNNNNNNNNNNNNNNNNNNNNNNNNNNNNNNNNNNNNNNNNNNNNNNNNNNNUUUUUAAAAUAACAGUUAUUCAUCAGCUUGUUGAGUGUUUCUUUUGGGUAUCCUAAAUUUAUUUUUAUUUAGGAUAAUUACAUUAAAUACUGCAUUCCUGGCGGUUAGUGUUUAGCUCUUCAAUGGUUGAUUGAUUAUAACAAUCUAAGGUAUAUUCGGCAAGAUUAUUUUAGUAGUUAUUAAUAGUUUUUCAUAAAAUGCUAAAAGCUAGACGUUCAGUGAGUUAAAGUUUUAUAAAAUACUACUUUAACCUUUAAAAAUUAGUUCAAACGUUAUGUUACCGAAUACUUUAAAAAUAACCGCGUUUAGCAUUUUAACUGAUCAAAACAUUAAAAUCUAUUUAAAAGGUUGUUGCCCAAAAAGUUUUAAGAUAUAAUCUAUGUAUCAUGGAAAUUAAAACGAAACAACGUAGAAACGCAGAAACAAACUGGAAAAUGAAAAAACGCCUAAUUAAUUUGGAGUUUCCAUACAUCAUAGAAUAUAAUAUUAUCUAAUAAAAAAAAGGUUUUAGUUAGGGGAUAUAAUAUGUUUUUUUUUCUUUUUCUUAUGAGACUUACCUAUAAACCAAGAUUCUUACUCCAUUUUCCAUGAACUCCUUGAGCAAGGGAAGAAUUGUUGAAGGGCUAUCUGUCCACCUAUCAAUAAUAUCACUACAUGGUUCCCAAUCAUGAUCAAGCUUAGUGACAUUGGCAUGCAAAGCUUCUUGCACAUCAGCCCUAUUGAAAUAAGCAUGCACAUAAUAGUCACUGCAUGGAUCAAAAUUAUCCAGCUGCAAAAUAAAACAAACCAAUUUUAGUUAUAUAUUUAUAAAAUCACCUUUCUGCAUCUAUAAAAAAAUUGUGUUAAUCAACUUACUGAAGCCUUCUUUGGGUGAGCUGUGAUAUUCUCAUCAAAGCACAAAGGAGCAUAAAUGUUAUAAAUGUCAAUAGCUUGAGAAUAUUUGUCAGCCUUCUCAGUAGCUGCUCUGCACUCUUUGGAUGGAUGGUUGAUAUACUUAGGUGAGAAAUUACAGUGUUUUUUUAUUUUUUGCAGUGUUUUUGGUGAAGAUAAAACAUGGGUUGUAAAGAAAGUAUACAUUCCUAGAGUAUCUGUUUCAUCAUUUAUCACUGCAUUUCCUAUCUGCAUUUUCACAGAUAUAAACAUACGGUUAGCUUCAAUUUCACUAAUUUAUAUGCACGAAAACUUCUAGCCAUGAACGUUUUAUGUUUGGGAAACGUUUCACUUUUCCAGUAUAAAAUACCAUUUUUCCAAGUAAAAUUAUGUUUUAUAGGUUAGAAAGGCACAUACUGCAAUUCCUUUGAGGUUGAUAAUGGUUUUGUUGGCCUUCCUGUUGUAGUAAAGGAUGGUAUGUGCAAGCUGACGAACAUAAUGGCCUGCAUAGCUUUCUCCAGAAAUGUAGAAAUCUCUUGCUUUAUAUUCAGGAAAUCUUUCAAGCCAAUUUACCAAAAACAAAUAAUUUUCUGUUGCUGUAUGUCUAUCGCCAGAAUUCUGAUAAUCUGAUGUUCUGUUAGAGUAUGAAAAGCCUACUCCAACAGGGGACUCCAGAAACAGAACAUUUGCAACUGAAAAAAAAAAAAANNNNNNNNNNNNNNNNNNNNNNNNNNNNNNNNNNNNNNNNNNNNNNNNNNNNNNNNNNNNNNNNNNNNNNNNNNNNNNNNNNNNNNNNNNNNNNNNNNNNNNNNNNNNNNNNNNNNNNNNNNNNNNNNNNNNNNNNNNNNNNNNNNNNNNNNNNNNNNNNNNNNNNNNNNNNNNNNNNNNNNNNNNNNNNNNNNNNNNNNNNNNNNNNNNNNNNNNNNNNNNNNNNNNNNNNNNNNNNNNNNNNNNNNNNNNNNNNNNNNNNNNNNNNNNNNNNNNNNNNNNNNNNNNNNNNNNNNNNNNNNNNNNNNNNNNNNNNNNNNNNNNNNNNNNNNNNNNNNNNNNNNNNNNNNNNNNNNNNNNNNNNNNNNNNNNNNNNNNNNNNNNNNNNNNNNNNNNNNNNNNNNNNNNNNNNUUUUCAGGAAAUAAAGAAAUUUAGAACACAAAAGGGAGAAAAAUAGAAAAAGAAUAUAUUAAAUACCUCCAUUUAGCCACAGAAGAAGAGGCAAAGAGUUCUUAGAACUUUCUUGAGCUUCAGCAAAAUAAUAAUAUAAGGCUUUUCCGGCUAAUUUAUCCACAGUAACAUAACCUCCAUAUUGUGAAAACUUAACUUGAGGUUGGCCAGGCAAUCUUUUGAUCCUAUCUUUUUCUUUAUCUUUUCCAUUUUCUUGAUUUAUAGUAAUAAUAGAAUCAAUUGUCCUAAAAUUGCUUGUGUCCAUACCAGAAUUCCCAUUAAGCUUGCAUUUGUAAAGAUUCCCAAGAACUUCACUUUGCCUCUUGCUAUGGCUCUGAGAUGUUAAAUAAGAAAAAAUGAAAAAGAAAGGGAAUAUCAAACAUGGGUUUUUCCCCAUUGCAGGAAAAGGAUUUAGGGUUUUUUGAUUUUUUGGAUUUUUGUUUCUUGAAUCCAAUUAUGUGUUUAUAUAAGUAUAGGGGUGUGUGUGUGUGCAAUGGAGAGAAAGUAUCUGUAGAAGGAUUUUGUUUUCUGAUUUCCUAAUUUAGAUCAACAUUAGUUAUUAUUCCCUCCAUCUUAUAAAAUUAUGUUUGUUUCUAUUUUCUCACAAACUAAUUAAAUGUAAUUAAUAUUUUUGAAUAAUAAAUUUGACCUAUGUUUCUCUUGAUAUACCCCCUAUUGUAAUAUUAGAUACCAUUUUCUUUUCUAGUAUAAUCAGGUAGUGUAAUUUUCAUCAGCCCCUGGGCAGUAGAUAAAAGUUUUUAAUUCUUCUUGUAAAUUGAGUUUUCAGAAAAUCGAACUUGUAUUAUCGCCCUUAUGGAGAUCGAGAUCAUUUACCGAUCCAAUCACAACCUUAUUGAUAAUUUUAGAAAUCACUUCAAAUAAAGAAUUAAGCGAGAAAAAUUUUAAUAAUAGGACUAUUAAAUAAGAGUAUAUAAAGAAAUUAGUUAUAUUUUCAAAAAAGAAAGUAACUAUAAUUUGAAACAAAUAAAAAAAAAAAAGGAAAGAAAACCUAUUUUCCAAAACGAGUCAUUGUCAAAAUAUACAGCUUUAUUUUCCAUAUAAGACGUUGGACUUUUAUUUUCCCUUGCUAUGACUUUGAUAUAUUAAAUAAUAAAAAUGAUAAAAAAAAUAAACUAGAACGAUUGUUUAAAAUUUUUAUUUUCAUCGGUUUGGUCUAUACAUAAAGGUUAUAGAUCUGAUUUAAGUAAGUUUCUACAGUUACGUAUAUAUGUGAUCAAGAGAGUGUUUUAAAAGAAUUUUAUUUUCUAAUUUCCUAAUUUAGUUGAUAUAUUAUUAAUUAAUUAUUAACCGUUUAAAUUUUAAAAACUACUUACCUACUACCGUACAUUCAUACACCAAACUAAUAAUUGAUUUCCUAAAUUUAUAUUCACUUACAGCUUAAUUUUUCCAUAUCAAACACUUGACUCAUUUGAACAAUGCAUUUACUCCUUUUUUUUUUAAUUCAAUCAAUAUUACAUAUAUUCAUCACUACUUGUACACCCAGAUUUUCAAGAAUCCAAAUCCAGAGAAUUUGCAAAUCAAAUAUUUAAUUCAAUGAUACCAAUUAAGAAAUAGAAGAAAAGAAUCACUUUUUAUACAUCUAGACACCCAAAUCCAGCACAAUUUGCAAAUUAAUAUUUAAAAGCGGUUUGGAAUAAAUGAGUUUCACAAAAUUUUGUGGAAUUUAUUUGGAAAUUUAAAAUUUUAUGUUUAGAAUGAAAAAAAAAUACAUUUUUGAAUUCCACGAAUUGAAUUCUAUGGAAUUGGAUAUGACAAAUUUAAAUUUACUAAAAUUGAUGGAGUUUGUAAAUGAAUUUCACAAAAUUGACCAUUAAAAUAUUUAUUGAUAAAAUUACCCUCCACUAUGAACUCAAUUAUUUUACCUUUUUUUUUUUCCUUUUUUGUAUACUUCUUUGGAAAAUUCCAAACUGUAAAAACAUUUUUUUAAUCCAAUAAUAACGUUAGGUUAUAUUUUUAUUUUUUUCCUUUUUUUUAAAAAUUCGAUCCUGUAAUGAUGUUUUUUUUUUUUAAAGUAUAGUAAUAAUGUUAGUUAUAAUUAUUAUGAAACUAUAAAAACAGAGUAUCAACAACAACAAUUGUUUUCAAAUGCAAUUAAAAAUAAUAGUAGCAUUUUUAAUAUUUUUUUAGUUUCCAAAUUAAUUUCUUAAAUCAACAAAAUUUUUUACAUCAAUUAAAAAUAAUUCUUAUGAUUAAUAUUACUGCUUAUACAAUUAAUUAAUUAGCAUGGAAUAUUGUACUUAUUUAUAUGAAAUUUAUUAUUUAUAUUUUAAUAAAAAAAUGACAAGUUAUUAUAUUGUACAUAAUAAAUAUAAUAGGUGUUUUUUAUUUAUUUUUGUUAAAUUGCUAUGUCAAUGGUGUUAUAAGAAAUAAAGACAAAUGAAUUUUUAUUUAAGAAUUUAUUCCAAACAUAAUUUUAUGAAAUUCAAUUGAAUUCCUUAUUUUAAAUUGUAGCAUACCAAACAUGAAAAAUUCAUUUCCAAAUGAAUUUUACUUGGAAUUCAUUUAUAAAUGAAUUCUACAAUCAUGAUUCAUUUGUUUCAAAUGGGCUAUUAGGCUCUAUUUUUUCUAUAAAAUAACUUAAAGGAAAAUAUUUUUCAUGAUUUUCCAUUGUUUGAGGCAUUUAGAAAAAUAAGUCAACGAAAAAUAUUUUACUCAUUUUUAAAGAAAUUGACUUUCCAAUUUUUAGAGAGAACAUUUCCAAAAUAUUGUCAAACCUAUGAUAACCUUAUAUAUCCAUAUUUUUUUAAUUUAUUAAUUAUUUAUAGUUAUUACCACCAGUUACCGUUCGCCACCAACUAUCGGCCACCACCAUUAGCUUUUAUAAUUUAUCUUUUUUGCAUUUUUCUCAUAUUUGAGAAUAAAAAUUUUUAAAAUUUCUAUUAUUUGGUCUUAUGAGUUAAAGAAUUUAAUAUUUUGAAUUAAUUUUCAAUAUUACAAUCAAACCAUGAAAAUAUAUCAUUUGAAAAAUUUAUUCAAUCAAAAGAUAAAUUAUUUUCAAAAAACAAACGUCUUAAUUCAAUGAUAUCAAGGAAGAACUACAAGAAAAGCAAAUGGAAGUUCUUGGUUUUGUCAUUAAGACCCUUUAAGUGAGUUUUACUCAUUUGCCUUUUCCAAAGAAAAAUAUUAUGUUAAAAAAUAUUUUUUUAGGGAAGUUUUUUUUUCCUUUUUAUAUGGUUUUAAUUGGGUUUUUUUUUUUUUUUUUUUUUUGGUGUUAUUUGUUUGUUUGUUUGUUAUAAGGUGGAAUAAUAUUGGAUAUGUAUUUUUUAUAUAUAUUUUAUCUUGUGCAAAUGUAGUUGUAAAUUAUUUAUAAUUUAAUAAUUAUUUAUUAAGUAUUCCCAUGAUAAUUCAAUCAAUUAUCAUAAUUCAAAAUGCAAAAAUUUAAAAAUUAUGAUAUCGGUUACAAUUUAUGAAUCUAAUAUAAUUGGAAGAGUACUUUCUAAAAUUGGCAGAUAAAGAUAUCUAAUAUUUGAAGAUAGUAACAAAUUGACAAAUUCUGAAAUUAAUUACAAUCCAAGAAAUAACAAAUAUUCUAAACCCUAAAAAAAUUAACUGCCAUCUCCUAAUUAAGGAAUGAUAAAUCAAAUUUAAAGCUAAUAUCUUUUAGUAUCAGGCAAAGGUGUGCCAUCGACAAAGUGUUUAAUUAGUGAAAGUGCUCUAAGAGGUUGAAAGCUUGGAACUUCAUGCCCUGCCCCUCUAACUGUAGCAAAUGUUAAAUCUCCCUUGUAAACUUGUGUAUAUCCUCCAACCUUCGAAAAAGAAAAAUACCCAAAAAGAAAAAAUUAUGCUACAUUUUUUGAAUACUUUUGAUAAAUACCAAAAAGAAAAAAUUGCUUAUACCUCUCCUUUGAGGUACCAAGGAUGCCAUUCAGUUUUGAUAGGAAGAUUCAACUUAUCAAUAGAAUAUAUAGUUGAAGUAAAGGGUACUCUUCCAUCUGUAUCCCCACUGCAUAACAACCAAUAAAAAUUUGCAUCAUUAAAUAAAGUGACCCAACUCGAACCCAUGAUAUUUGGGUCACGAAUUGAGUAAUUUUAUUAUGCUUUUGCAUAUGUCGAACCCUUGACCUUUCAGGUUAAAGUCAAGUAAUUUUUAUGUUUUUAUUAUGCUUUUGCAUAUGUCGAACUCUUGACUUUUCAGGUUAAAGUUUUUGCGCGUUUCGCAUCCAUAACCUUUAGGUGACGAGUCGAGUAACUUUAAUAUACUUUUCAACCCAUGAUCUCCAGGUCACAAGAUCAAUAAUUUUUUCUAUAUUUUUAUGUAUUUAGAAUCCAUGAUAUGAGUCAAGUAACUUACCUAUAUUUUCGCGUAUUUCGAACCUAUAACCUUCAAGUCAGAGUAAUUUUAUGAGUAAUUUUAUUAUACUUUUGCAUAUUUCGAACUCAUAACCUGCAGGUCAUGUAUCUCGAAUGCAUGACUUUCAGGUCACGAGUCACCGUUGCAUAUCUUGAAACCAUGACCUUCAAGUCAUGAGUCAAGUAACUUUAUUAUACUUUUACAUAUCUCCAUCUCAUAUCAUUCAGGUCACUGAUUCGAAUAACUUUAUCAUUACUCAAAAAGUACACACUUAGUAAUGAUUAACCAACUUACCUAUAUAUCCAGACACGAAGUCCAUUGGCCAUGAACUCUUGUAGAAGUGGAAGAACAGUAGCAGAGCUAUCUAACCAUUGGCUGAUGACGUCACUGCAGGGCUCCCAAUCAUGUUUAAGUUUUGUUACAUUAGCAUGCAUAGCUUCUUGCACUUCAGGUGUAUUCAAAUAUGCAUACACAUAAUAAUCACUGCAUGGAUCAAAAUUCUCCAACUGCAAUACAAAAUUAAUCAUACAAUUAUUACAUCAAACCUCUUUUUACAACAAAACAAUUAUUUUCCAUAGACCAAAAAAAAAAAUUACAAGCACUAAUAAUAAUUUACUUACUGAAGCAAUCUUGGGUUUGGCUGUGGUAGUUGGACUGAAGCAAAGAGGAGCAUAAAUGUUGUAUAUAUCAAGAUGAGAAAUGUCUCUUUCAAUUUGAUUAUUAGCUGAAAUGCAAGUAGCAGACUGACUUGUGGCAUUGGGGGAGAAGUCGCAAUGCUUCUUAAUAUUGUUGACAGCCUCAUUUGAAACUAGAGCAUGUCCAACAAAGUAGUCAUACAUUCCUAUAUUAUCAGUUUCAUCAUUAAUCACUGCAUUCCCAAUCUGCAAUUUUUUACAAGAACACAAUUAUUAAUUUCAAGAACAUAAUUAUAUAUGUAUCAAUGAUUACUUGGGAGAAAAAGAAACUUACUAAAAUACCCUUAAGGUUGAUAAUAGUUUUUUUGGCCUUUUUGUUAUUGUAAAGAAUAGUAUGUGCAAGUUGUGGAACAUAAUGCCCUGCAUAGCUCUCUCCAGAAAUGUAGAAAUCUCUAUCUUUGUAUUCAGGAAAUCUCUUCAGCCAAUUUACCAAGAAUAUAUAAUUAUCCUCUGCUGUUUUUUUGUCUCCAUUGUUAUCAUAAUCCGAUGUCCUAUUAGAGUAUGAAAAACCAACUCCAGCAGGCGAUUCAAGAAACAAAACAUUUGCAGCUGAAAAACAAAAGGGAAAAUCAAGAUCUUACAUUAUACUAAGGUCCUGUUCCGCAAAAUUAGAUAUUUUUCUACAAAUAUUUACAUUUAUUUAUUGAGAAGAAUGUUAUGUACCAUAAUUCCAUGAGUAUCUAUUUUUGUAAAGAGUUUUGCCAUCACUGUGUACACGAAAUGGUCCAAGUUCUUGCAUAGCGCCAUAAGCCAAAGAGAAGCAACCAGGGCCAGUAAAAAUAAAAAAAUAAAUAAAAUAAAUAAAUCUUUGGAAUUGGUUAUACGGUUCUUUUUUUUUCAAAUACUUAGACCGGAUCCAAACCAACGAGACUAAAGAUUCUUAUUGAAACGAAGGUAUUUCUAACCAUACAUUUUCUAAAAAUCAUUAGUUUCAUUGGUUUAGUCCAUAAGCAAAUCCAUGAACCCGGGUUAAGCAAGAUUUUUCCCUGUGAUCAAAUAUAUUAAACAUAUAAAAUUUAUUAACAUCACCAUCAAACUAAAACAAGAUGACAAAUACAUUAUAUCAUCAAAGAUCAAAUCAAAUGUUCUUAUGUCCCUUUAAUGUAUGAGUUCAAUGGAAUACGUUAAUGCUUAAUGACUAUAGAUUAUAGUAAUCCCAACCACCAUUAGUUUAAUUAAAUUAAAUCUUGCAUAGGAGUGAAGCAUGGGAUUGGAACCCAAGAUUGGGUGGCAACAUUCCAAUUGGCCAUGUUUUUUUUAUUUUUCUUCUUAUUAUUAUUAUUAUUAUUUUAAGGAAAGGAAAGAGGGGCGUUAAUACUUUUUUGCUAGAUGAUUCAUCAUAUAAUAUUCAUUGUAAAAAGAAAAUUAAACAAAAAUUACUUUUGUAACUAACCAAAAAUUUAUAAUUACAAUGUGAUUAUAAUUUUCUACUAAUAAUUAGCUAUAGCCUAAGUAGAAAAGAAAUUGACAAACAAAAGUGUGGCCUAGUGAGUACAAUUAUUGCAUGCAAUAAUUAUCUUUUUUUUUUUUUUUUUUUUUUUUUUUGGAAAACUGCCAGAAAUAAUGAUUAUUAACCGUUUAAAUUUAAAAACUAUUUACCAAUAAUUAUCUACCGUACGGUCGAACACCAAACCAAUAAUUGAUUUCCUAAAUUUAUAUUCACUUACAGCUUAACUUUUCCAUACGAGGCCUUGACUCGUUUGGCCAAUGCAUUUACCCCUCUAUUUUAUUUUUUUUCAAUCAAUAUUAUUUUUAAAAAUCCAAAUCACUUAUUAAUAUUUAGGCUUUGGUUGUUUCCAUAAGAUAACUUUCAAGAAAAUAUUUUUCAUAAUUUCCCAUUAUUUGAGGCAUUCAGAAAAACAAAUCAACGGACAAUAUUUUAAUCAUUUUUAAGGAAAAUGACUUUCCAAUUUCAAGAGAGAAAAAUAUUUUUUGGACAUUGACAAACUUAUGAUAACAUUAUACAUUUAUAUUUUUUAAAUUUAUUAGACAUUUAUAGCAACUGCCACCAGUCACCGUGUACCACCAACUAUCACUACCGGCCACCCUCGGCCACUAUCAUCGGCUUUCAUAAUUUACCAUUUUUUACAUUUUCCUCAUAUUUAACAAAUAAAAUUUUAAAAUAUGAAAAUUUUAUUGUUGUUAAUAUUUUUAUGAUCUUAUGAAUUAAAAAUUUUAAUAUUUUUAAUUAUUGAAACUAAACAAGAAAAAUAAGUCAUUUGAAAAAUAUUAUUUAAUCCAAAGAUAAUUUCCAGAAACAAACGCAUGCAACUCAAUAUCAGGGAAGGAAUACAACAAAAGCAAGUGAAAGUUUAUGGUUUUGUCAUUAAGACCCUUUAAGUGAGUUUUACUCAUUUACCUUUUCCCAGAGAAAAAUAUUAUGUUAUGGAAACUUUAUUUUCCUCUUUAUAUGGUGUUGUUCAUUUCAUUACAGCAAUUAUCAAUAAGAUAAUGUUUAACAAUUUUGAGAAUAAUAUGGUUAACUAUACUUACCUAUAUAUAUAUAUAUAUAUAUAUAUAUAUAUAUUACUUUUAUAUAAUCUCUUGAAAAAGGCCCACAUUAAAAAAAUUAAGUGUAAAAAAAAAAAAAAAGAAACUUUGAGCCGUUUGUGUAAAAAAAAAAAAAAUAUAUAUUUCUUUUUCAUAAUUAAGUGUAAAAAAAAGAUAUAUAUAUAUAUAUAUAUAUAUAUUUCUUUUUAGUAUCCUAAAAUUAUAUCCAUUUUAGGAUGAUUACAUUAAAUAUUGCGUUUCUAGCCGUUAGUGUUUAGCUCUUCAAUCGUUAAUUGAUUGUAAUAAUCUGAGUAAGCGUUGAGAUAUAAUCUGCAUUGUAUGGAAAUGGAAAUAAAAGAAUGUAGAAACACGGAAACGAAACGAAAAAUCAUAUUUAAAAUAUAAUUGUACAUGGAAAAAUGAUAUUUUAUAUGGGAAAACAGACGUGUAGAAAUGUUUUCGAAAUGCGAAAACAAAAUAACAAAACGACAUUUAAAAUGUUACAUGAAAAAAUAAUAUUUUAUACGGAAAACAAAGACAUUUUAAAUGUUUUCGAAACACGAAAAUCCUGUAACUAGGAGUUUUCUUGCAUCGUAGUAUGUGCAAGUUGAGGCACAUAAUGGCCUUCAGAUCAGAAUCAGAAAGAAAGAAAAUAGAGAAAGAGAAAGUAAAUAUUUAUUAUUUACAAUAGCUGAGUUGUCCAUUUCAAUUAUUGAUUUAUGCUUUGGGUGAGUAUCUAUUAAUCAGAUUGCAUAAUAUAAUUUUUAGUAUAUUGAUUCUCUUAAAUGGAAAAUGAAAUUUUAAAUCCGAUAUCUCUAUAUUCUAUGUUAUAAAAUAAAAACGGGAUGUUGCUAAAUAUAUAUUUAAAAUGGAUACAAUAUGUUAUUCAGUAUCUAUUAUAAACUUAAUGAGAAAAACAAUAUGUAUACUGUAUUUAUUUCAAAAUAUAAAUGCUUUGUAAGUGAUUGUUUUCUCCCAAAUCUUCGGAGCUGAAAUUAUUUAUCUGUGCUGUGGCAUGGGAUAGCUGCUGAUUUGUGCAACAGAUUCAAUGAACAUAAGGACAGAUCAUAACAUAUAUACGCUCCAUAAUAAUAUUGAAUUUGGAUUUUCUAUCAAGUUACCAAUACCCCUAAAUGACAUAUAAUGUAAUGAAUUUGACUUUUUGGUUUUAACUAAAUUUGGAAGCUUAACUAUUACCUUGACACCUUAUAAAUUAAUCCUACCUCUGUUUCAUAAUAUUUCUCGAAAAAAUAAUUUAUUUUAAAAUAUUUGUCGAAUUUACAGUUUCAAGAGUAAUAAUUUUUUUUCAUGUUUACCCUUUGUACAUGACAAAUAAUUAUUGCUUCAAUUUUUUUUAAAAAAAAUUUCUGUUUAUUUACUUUUAUCUCUGAUUGGACAAAUAUGAGAAUUGAAGAGUCUAAAAUUUAAUUUGAUGUUUAGAUAUAUUAAAUUAAAGGUAAUAUAGUUAAUUUAUUCAAUAAUUUAUUGUAAUCUAGACAAAUUUAAUGGUUUCUUAAAGGACGUGAAAUUUUAAAUGUGACAAGUAUUAUGAAACAGAGGUAGUACUCUCUCCGUUUUCAAAUAAUUGUCACAUUUAAGAAUUCACAUUUUUUUUUUUUUUUUAAAUCAUUCAAUUGGACCUGAAAAUUUUAAGACUUGGAUCAACACAAAUGGUUGGACCCAGUUUACAAUACCUAUCUUAGCCCAAGUGAAUACAAAGCAUUGGGUUGCCCCUCAGGCAAUGGUAAUCACAAGCUUACACCAUUUUGUGAAUUAGUCCCAAGCCUGAUAAUCAUACACAUAUUACUGUGAUUGAUAAUUAAGCAAUCAAUUUAAGAAUUAAGUUCUAAAUGUUCAAAUUUUUACAUUAGUUAAACUGUUUAAGAAGUAAACACUCAACAACCUAGUUCUUUAAUGUUGAAUUGUGUUUUCAAAUACCACAUUGGUGAAUAAUUAUUAGUUGACUAUGAGCUAGACUUAAGGGCCUAUUUGGCAAAAUGCUGUUUUAGGUAUUUCGAUAGCUAUUAACAGUUUUAGUAGCAUUUAGCUGUUCGAGUAACUUUUCAUAAAAUGCCAAAAGCUAAACUUAUGAUAUUUCAAGAGAGAAAAAUAUUUUCUAGAUAUUGACAAACUUAUGAUAACUUUAUAUAUUCAUAUUUUUUUUAAUUUAUUAGUCAUUUACAGUCGGCUUUCAUAAUUUAUCAUUUUUUACAUUUUCCUCAUAUUUAACAAUAAAUUUUUUAAAAUACGAAAUUUUUAUUGUUAUUAAUAUUUUUAUGUUCUUAUGAGUUAAAGAUUUUAAUAUUUUUAAUUAUUGCAACUAAACAAGAAAAAUAAAUCAUUUGAAAAAUAUUAUUUAAUCCAAUAAUUCAAUAUCAAGGAAGGAAUACAAGAAAAGCAAGUGAAGUUUAUGGUUAACUAUACUUACCUAUAUAUAUAUUUAUAUUACUUUUAUAAUCUCUUGAAAAAGGCACCCAUUAAAAAAAUUAAGGGUAAAAAAAAAAAAAAAAGAAACUUUGAGUGUUUCUUUUCAGUAUCCUAAAAUUAUUUCCAUUUUAGGAUGAUUACAUUAAAUAUUGCGUUUCUAGCGGUUAGUGUUUAGCUCUUCAAUCGUUAAUUGAUUGUAAUAAACUGAGUAAGCGUUGAAAUAUAAUUUGCGUUGUAUGGAAAUGGAAAUGAAAGAAUGUCAAAAUGCGGAAAUGAAACGAAAAACCAUAUUUAAAAUAUAACUUUAAAUAAAGAUUCAUUUGGAAUUUCAUGUUUUAAAUUCUGAUUUGGUUUUUCCUGAACCAAACGCUACCAAAAUUAGUAGAAUUUGCAAAUGAAUUCUCAACUUUAAAGGAACAGAAGUUACUAAAGCUACUGAAUAUUUAAGUACAAAAUAUCAGAACACAUAUUUGGAAUGAAUUCUACGAUUGAUCCAAGCAUGAAUUUCCAUUUAUCAAUGAAUUCUUUAAUGAAAUUCAUUUGCAAAUUGAAUGAAUUCCAUAUGAAUAUUAUUCCAAACACUAUGUAACUGAAAGAGCAUAUAGCGAUCCAUAUAGAAUCUGCUUUAAUAUAAAGAUUGCCUCCUAUGAACCGCUAACUCCUCAAAGCACAUGUUUAAAGUCUUCUCUGAACCGCUACUUAUAUUUGAAAUUCCUACACAAUUAUCCUUCUGCUGCUUCAAAUAAAGCGCUUCAAGUAAUCUGGGUUUUUUUCAGUGGGCUGGACGAUGGAUUUUUCAAAGGCCCAAACUUACAUUAUUAGACUAAUGUCAGUCAUAAGUGAUUAUUUUCUAAUUGCCGAUAAUUAAUUAGGAUAAUUCUUUCUUUCUUUCUUUCUUUCUUGCUUAUGAAAGUAACCAGAGAAUUGGAAGAAGAAAAGACAUUUAUUUGCAUUGUACAACAAGAGUCAAAGUAAAUGUCCUUUUUGACCAAGUCCAAUCCUGCAGCUUCCAUGUAAUUCUUGAAGAUUAUUACCUGUUUUUGUUUUUACAUAACUCUUCUUGGCCUCUUUAGCUUUUCAGUUUCAAUCACCAACCAAUUUUUUUGUUUGGUAUUGCAUCUUCCUUCCUUUUGAGUCUUUGAUUACUGCAACUCCACUUUCAAUCACCAACCAAGUGUUCAACUGCUCGAAUUUUCUGCUGAAAAUUUUGGUCAUCCUCUCUUUGUAAUGGAAAUUGCAGCUGCUAUUGGAGGUGCUCUUCUAGCGCCUGCCUUUGAGUCUUUGUUUAAUAAGUUGGCUUCCAAGGAUUUGCUCAAUUAUGCCCGUAAAAAGCAUGUGCUGACUGAAAUCAACAAGUGGAAGGACAUGUUGGAGAGCAUUUAUGGGGUUCUUGAGGAUGCAGAGGAGAAGCAGAAGCUGAGCAAGCCGGUGAAGAUGUGGGUAAGCCAGUUGAGGAACCUGGCGUAUGAUUUGGAGGACAUUCUGGAUGAGUUUGAUUUUGAGGCUCGUCGAUCCAAGUUGAAAGCUGAACCUGUGGCUGGUUCAAGUAUGGUACGAAAGCUCUUCCCUAAUCUUCGUGCUGUUAAAUUCAGUAAAGAGAUGAUUUCCAAGAUAAAGGGGAUUAGUUCCCGAUUAGAAGAGAUCACCUCACGAAGAAAUCAACUAGAUUUGANNNNNNNNNNNNNNNNNNNNNNNNNNNNNNNNNNNNNNNNNNNNNNNNNNNNNNNNNNNNNNNNNNNNNNNNNNNNNNNNNNNNNNNNNNNNNNNNNNNNNNNNNNNNNNNNNNNNNNNNNNNNNNNNNNNNNNNNNNNNNNNNNNNNNNNNNNNNNNNNNNNNNNNNNNNNNNNNNNNNNNNNNNNNNNNNNNNNNNNNUGGAAAGAAGUUUGAUUUGACGGCUUGGGUUUCUGUCGGUGAAGAUUUUGACGUGGUUAGACUUACAAAAACAGUUCUUCAGUGGGUUGGUGGAGAUCUUACUUCCAACGAUUUGACUUCGCUUCAAUUAAACUUGAAGGCAAAGCUGUCAGAGAAGAAGUUUUUUAUGGUUCUAGAUGAUGUUUGGAACAGGAAUUAUGAGCAUUGGACAAUCUUUCUUCUCCCGUUUGAGAAUGGGGCAAAAGAAAGUAGAAUUAUCGUCACAACUCGCAAUCUUGCCGUUUCACAGAGGAUGGGUGCUCUUCAAAGUUAUACACUUGGAGUGUUGGAGAAUGAUGAUUGCCUGUCUGUGUUUGCCCAUCAUGCUCUUGGAGUAACAAAUUUUGAGGAGCACUUGGAUCUAGAAGCAAUAGGUAAGAAGAUUGUGGAAAGGUGUCAAGGCUUACCUUUGGCAGCUAAAGCUAUUGGAGGUCUCUUACGAGGUCAACCAACUCGCGAUGCAUGGGAACAAGUGCUAAACAGCGGCAUUUGGGAGGAGAAAGCCGACAUUCUUCCAGCAUUAAAGUUGAGCUAUCACCAUCUUCCACCUCAUCUGAAACGAUGUUUUGCUUAUUGUGCAAUUUUUCCAAAAGAUUACGAAUUCGAUGAGGAUGAGUUGGUUCUACAGUGGAUGGCAGAGGGAUUUCUACAGCACGCGCAGGAAAUGAAGCAAAUGAAACGCUGGGGUCAUCGAUAUUUCCAUGAUUUAGUAUUGAGAUCCUUUUUUCAACAAUCUACUGGCAAUAAAUCCCGAUAUGUGAUGCAUGACCUACUCAAUGAUCUAGCUAAAUCUGUAAGUGGAGAAAUAUGCCUCCAUUUGGAUGAUGAUGAGUUGAAGGGCAUAAAAUCACAUGCAAACGUUCGCCAUUCAGCAUUCACUGUGAGUAUGACAAGUACCAAAGAUUUGAAGACUUUUAUGAGAUGAGUAAUCUGCGAACAUUCUUGGCAUUAUCCACAGAUCGAUGGCGAGAGAAUUUUUUAUCUAUUAGAGUGGUGCAUGACCUAGUGCCAAAACUGAAACGUCUAAGGGUGCUAUCACUAGCUCGAUACACGUUUGAAGAGUUGCCAAGUUCAAUUGGCGCCUUAAAGCAUUUACGAUAUCUUGACUUGUCUUAUAACACUGGGCGUAUAAGAUUACCUAAUUCACUGAGUAAUCUUCAAAACUUGCAGACACUGAAGUUAUUUAAGUGUGGGAAUCUUAUUGAGUUGCCCACAAGCAUUGGCGCUUUGAUCAAUUUGGUGCACCUCGAUCUUAAAGAUACGUAUGAUUUGCAGGAGAUGCCAUUGGGGGUAGCAAAUUUGACAAAUCUUCAAACAUUGUCUAAGUUUAUCGUGGGAGAAGGAACUAAUUGCCUUGGAAUUAGAGAGCUAAUGAACCUCCAUCAUCUAGAAGGACCACGUCGUAUUGAAAAGCUACAGAAUGUGGCAAGGAUUGAAGAUGCAAAUCUCGUUGAUUUAAAGAAUAUUGAGAAUCUUGGUGAUUUGGCCUUGGUAUGGACCGAUAAAUUGCGUGAUUCACCAUGCGAAGAGGAUCGUGAAUUCCAGGUUCUCAACUUGCUAGAACCUCAUCAAAAGUUGGAAAGGCUUUCGGUUCGAUUUUAUGGCGGUAAGCAAUUUCCAUUGUGGAUAGGAAAUCCUGCAUUCACAAAUAUGGUGGAUCUAGAGCUUUGGGAUUGGCGGAAUAUUACCUCGCUGCCACCACUAGGUAGACUAUGUAAACUGAAAAAGCUGAGUAUCAGAGACAUGGAUGAACUGCUAGAAGUAAGGCUUGAGCUUUCCCCGUCUCUUGAGAUUCUAAAAAUUGGGAAUAUGUUGAAGUUGAAGCAAUGGGCUCACUCUGGUGACGUCAACGUGGAGGUUACAAGAAAAUUUCCUAGACUACGUGAAAUUAGGAUAAGAAAUUGUCCUAAAUGGGUUGUGACAUUGCCUACCUCCCUUCAUUCCCUUGAGGAAUUGUACAUUGAUGGAUGUCAAGAUAUUAUUCUCGAAAGUGUGCAUGAUCUAUGUUCCCUCCAAACCUUGCACAUUUCGAGUAUUUCAGCACUUGAAAACUUACAUCAAGUGGUUACGCAGUCCUUGGUGGCGCUAGAAUAUCUGUCCAUUGGUAAUUGCAGCCAAUUGAUACACCUGUGGCAGGGUUCAGCUAAUUUAGACAAACUUUCUAGCUUGAAAUCUUUAUGGAUCCAUGAGUGUGAGAAGCUAGUGUCGUUGGUAGGAGGAGAGGAAGGGAAUUUGCCAUGCAAUCUUGAAUAUUUGGGGAUAUGGGAAUGCGAUGGAUUUGAGAUUCUGCCAAAUGGGUUGCAAACCCUCACAUCUCUUAGAGAGCUGGAUAUCAAUCGGUGCCGAAACCUUGUGUCCUUCCCAUCUGCAGGUUUACCUUGUAGUCUUAAAAGUCUCGAAAUCGAAUAUUGUCCUUCUCUGGAGUCCUUGCCGAAGGGCAUUGUGCAUGAUAGUAACGCCAGGAAUGAGAUGUCUCAUCUUGAGGUUGUGCGUGUCAAAAAAUGUCCAUCUCUUACAUCGCUUCCAAUCGGUGAAUUUCCCUAUUCAAUUUAACAAAUUGAUAUUUGCUUUUGGACGACACAACUUUUGGAUUCAUUUCGUAAUAGGUUCUCGCAUCUCACCACAUUAACAAUAUAUGGCUCUGAGUUGGAGUGUUUCCCAGAAAGUGGAUUGGCCAUCCCCAACCUUAGCCUUUUAAUCAUAGAACACUGUGAAAAUUUGAGGUUGCUUCCCAAUCAAAUGCAAAAUCUUACAUCUCUUAAUUAUUUAGAGAUAAAUAAUUGUGGAGGUCUUGUGUCCUUUCCAGAUGAGGUUUUACCCCCAAACCUUACUUCUUUAUACAUACGGAGUUGUGAGAAUUUGAGAUUUCUUCCCACUCAAAUGCAAAAUCUCACAUCUCUUCAAAGUUUAGAAAUAGUUGACUGUUUAGGUCUGGUGUCCUUUCCAGAUGGCGGUUUACCCCCAAAACUAGGUCGUCUUCAAAUUUUAAAUUGCAAGAAUCUGAAACAGCCAAUGUCAGAGUGGAGACUCAAAAGACUCGCCUCUCUCACCCGUCUCACAAUCGCAGGGCCAUGUCCAAAUACAGAUAUGGAUUCCUUCCCAGAUGAGAAGGGCCUACUGCUUCCCUCUUCCCUAACCUUUCUUGGGAUCGAAGAUUUUAAAAAUCUGAAAUCAAUAUCCAGAGGCAUUCACCAUCUCACCUCUCUUGAUGCAUUAGGAAUUCGAAAUUGCCCUAAGCUCCAGUCCUUUCCCAAGGAGGGCCUUCCGACCACACUUGAAAUAUUGAUUAUCGACAGGUGUCCCCUUCUGGAAAGACGAUGCAGAAAAGGGAAAGGAGACUAUUGGCGCUUUAUUGCCAAUAUCCCCCGUUUCACAACUGAAUAGAGAAUAGAGAAUGAAGGGAGUCCUCACAUACAACGAGGUAUUCAUCUUUUUACUUUUGCUUGCAGCUAAAACUAUAACUGAUAUAUGCAAUAUUUUUAAGCCAAAAUAGAAUAGAUAUAAAAAAAUGAAUUGCAUUCAAUUAUGUGGUGUUUCAAGUUUCAACCAUAUUACCCCAUUCUGUUCUGACUCUGAUAUGAGCUGAUUUUAUACAUAUCAAAUCUUGGCUGCAAAUAAUGCAAUUGUUUCUUCAGGUCUGCAAAAGCCUGGACUGCUUAGCCCAGGACUCGAGAUUGUCAUAAUCGUCUCAAAUCCAAUCCCUGCUGGUAAGGGUAAUUGUCAUAAUUUUAUAAAGACUGCUAUUAGUUAAGCUUGCAAAGUUUGGAUGUUUUAUUGAUGUUUUAUUUUCAGAUGUUUUAUUUUCACUUAGCAUUUCUAAUCCUAGGAGGGGUGUAUGGGGGAGGCCUGUUGGUCGGGUUUAGAUGGAUUAGUUAUGUUAAGUUUUUCCUGGAUGAUGUUUGUAAUAAUAAAUUUAAUUUUCAAAAAAAAAAAAAAAAAAAAAAAAAAAAAAAAAGAGAGUACAAUCCUGUUUCUGCUACAUAUGACUACAAUGAGCAGUUGUUACCAAUUUAUCAGACAAGAAUUCUGUUUCCUAUGUUGAGAUACUUAUAUGAGCAUAUUUGUUUAUUUAUUGACAGAUUUAAGGCUCUGGAAGUAUUAUUUAAAGUGAAGAAGUUUUACAGACAUUGGUUGAGAAUUUUUCAGAUGGAAAUUAUCUUUUUUUUUUUUUAUUUUUUUAUUUUUAUAAAUGGAAUAGGGUCCGUUCUUCCUACAAAACAUCCGGUCAAGAGUCAGGUGAUCUCGAACUACUUGCUAUUCAUGCAAACGACAGGUCGUCUGCACCAAGAUGCAAAUGACUUGCAUUUGCGAGUGAAUUUGAGUUUUUAUAAGUAACUAUACUGGCAAUGUGGCUUUAUGGAGCAAAAUCUGAUUCUGAAUGAAAAAAAUUACAUCAAAAGAAUCUAUAUGCUUCAAAAUCUAAUAAUAAUUUAUUUUCUUUUCUUUUGCUUUGUGGAGGGAAAUUUGAACCAUGAUUUAUAGUCAGGUUGUAUAUCCAUUUACCAUCACUCUAUUACGGCUUAUUGCGCAUAAAUUCAAUAAAAUUAAGCCUAAUAAUUUGUCUAUUGUUUAUAACAAAUUAACACAAUAAAAUUCUAAUAAAUAUAAUAAAAUUGAGGUACAUAGAUUAUGAAAUUUUUGGAAGAGGUUUGCCAAGAAGAAAGUGGUGAAUAAGUGAGAGUGCUCUUGCAGGCUGGAAGGCAGGCACUUCAUGUCCAGCCCCUCUCACAGUAGCAAAAGUAAGGUCUCCUUUAUAAAUCUCAGUAUACCCACCAACCUGAAACACAAUCAUUCAUCCACAAAACAUUUAUUUCAAUUUCUUUAUUACAAUUUACAAUUUAUAAAUUAUAUAAUUAAUUAAAUUUUAAUAAAUAAUUAAUUUACCUCCCCAUUAAGGUACCAAGGGUACCAUUCAGUUUUAAUAGGAAGCUUCAACUUUGCGAGUGAGUAUUGAGUAGAAGUAACAGGUACUCUUCCAUCCGUAUCACCACUGCAUGGUAAAAUGUUAAAAUGGUAAAAUGUUUUUAAAAUAACAGUUAUUCAUCAGCUUGUUGAGCGUUUCUUUUUGGUAUCCUAAAUUUAUUUUUAUUUAGGAUAAUUACAUUAAAUACUGCAUUCCUGACUGUUAGUGCUUAGCUCUUCAAUUGUUGAUUGAUUAUAACAAUCUAAGGUCUAUUCGACAAGAUUAGUUAUUUUAGUUUUUCAAAAAAUGCUAAAAGCUAGACGUUCAGUGAGUUAAAUUUUUAUAAAACGCUACUUUAACAUGUAAAAAUUAAUUCAAACGUUAUGUUACCGAAUUCUAAAAAAAUAAUAGCAUUUAGCAUUUUAAUUGAUCAAAACACUAAAAUCUAUUUUAAAAAUUGUUGCCUAAAAGUUUUAAGAUAUAAUCUAUGUUUCAUGGAAAUUAAAACGAAAUAGCGUAGAAACACAGAAACAAAGAAAUGCGAAAAGCUUAUAAUUUGGAGUUUUCAUACUUCAUAAAAUAUAAUAUUAUCUAAUAAAAAAAUGUUUUAAUUAGGUGAUAUAAUAUAUAUAUAUAUUUUUUUUUUCUUAUGAGACUGACCUAUAAACCAAGAUUCUUACUCCAUUUUCCAUGAACUCCUUGAGCAAGGGAAGAAUUGUUGAAGGGCUAUCUGUCCACCUAUCAAUAAUAUCACUACAUGGUUCCCAAUCAUGAUCAAGCUUAGUGACAUUGGCAUGCAAAGCUUCUUGCACAUCAGCCCUAUUGAAAUAAGCAUGCACAUAAUAGUCACUGCAUGGAUCAAAAUUAUCCAGCUGCAAAAUAAAACAAACCAAUUUUAGUUAUAUAUUUAUAAAAUCACCUUUCUGCAUCUAUAAAAAAAUUGUGUUAAUCAACUUACUGAAGCCUUCUUGGGGUGAGCUGUGAUAUUCUCAUCAAAGCACAAAGGAGCAUAAAUGUUAUAAAUGUCAACAGCUUGAGAAUAUUUGUCAGCCUUCUCAGUAGCUGCUCUGCACUCUUUGGAUGGAUGGUUGAUAUACUUAGGUGAGAAAUUACAGUGUUUUUUUAUUUUUUGCAGUGUUUUUGGUGAAGAUAAAACAUGGGUUGUAAAGAAAGUAUACAUUCCUAGAGUAUCUGUUUCAUCAUUUAUCACUGCAUUUCCAAUCUGCAUUUUCACAGAUAUAAACAUACGGUUAGCUUCAAUUUCAAUAAUUUAUAUGCACGGAAACUUCUAGCCAUGAAUGUUUUAUGUUUCGGAAACGUUUCCACUUUUCUAGUAUAAAAUACCGUUUUUCCAAGUAAAAUUAUGUUUUAUAUGUUAGAAAGGCACAUACUGCAAUUCCUUUGAGGUUGAUAAUGGUUUUGUUGGCCUUCUUGUUGUAGUAAAGGAUGGUAUGUGCAAGCUGAGGAACAUAAUGGCCUGCAUAGCUUUCUCCAGAAAUGUAGAAAUCUCUUCCUUUAUAUUCUGGAAAUCUUUGAAGCCAAUUUACCAAAAUCAAAUAAUUUUCUGUUGCUGUAUAUCUAUCGCCAGAAUUCUCAUAAUCUGAUGUCCUGUUUGAGUAUGAAAAGCCUACUCCAACAGGAGACUCCAGAAACGGAACAUUUGCAACUGAAAAAAAAAAAAAGAAAAAUUAAAAANNNNNNNNNNNNNNNNNNNNNNNNNNNNNNNNNNNNNNNNNNNNNNNNNNNNNNNNNNNNNNNNNNNNNNNNNNNNNNNNNNNNNNNNNNNNNNNNNNNNNUUCAUUAUUUUUUAUAAAUAUUAUUAUUAUUACAAACAGAUAGUCCAGUUCUUUAAGUUAUUUCAAAAGUAAAAUAAUUAAGGAAUUACCAUUAUUCCAUGAAAAUCUGUUCUUGUUCUUGUAAAGUGUUUUGCCAUCACUGUAUACUCGAAAUGGUCCAAGCUCUUGCAUCAACCCAUAAGCCAAAGAUGAACAACCAGGCCCUGUAAAAAUAUUAAUCAGCAACAGACAGUAAUAUUAUACAUUUAAAUUGAAAAUUUAACAUAAUAAUAAUAACAAUAAAAAGAAUACUAUUUUCAGGAAAUAAAUAAAUUUAGAACACAAAAGGGAGAAAAAGGGAAAAAGAAUAUAUUAAAUACCUCCAUUUAGCCACAGAAGAAGAGGCAAAGAGUUCUUAGAACUUUCUUGAGCUUCGGCAAAAUAAUAAUAUAAGGCUUUUCCAGCUAACUUAUCCACAGUAACAUAACCUCCAUAUUGUGAAAACUUAACUUGAGGUUGGCCAGGCAAUCUUUUGAUCCUAUCUUUUUCUUUAUCUUUUCCAUUUUCUUGAUUUAUAGUAAUAAUAGAAUCAAUUGUCCUAAAAUUGCUUGUGUCCAUACCAGAAUUCCCAUUAAGCUUGGAUUUGUAAAGAUUCCCAAGAACUUCACUUUGCCUCUUGCUAUGGCUCUGAGAUGUUAAAUAAGAAAAAAUGAAAAAGAAAAGGAAUAUCAAACAUGGGUUUUUCCCCAUUGCAGGAAAAGGUUUUACGGUUUUUAAUUUUUUGGAUUUUUGUUUCUUGAAUCCAAAUUAUGUGUUUAUAUAAGUAUAGGGAUGUGUGUGUGUGCGCGCAAUGGAGAGAGAGUAUCUAUAGAAGGAUUUUGUUUUCUGAUUUCCUAAUUUAGAUCAAUAUUAGUUAUUAUUCCCUCCAUCUUAUAAAAUUAUGCUUGUUUCUAUUUUCUCACAAACUAAUUAAAUGUAAUUAAUAUUUUUGAAUAAUAAAUUUGACCUAUAUUUCUCUUGAUAUACCCCCUAUUGUAAUAUUAGAUAUCAUUUUCUUGAUAUACUCCCAGGUAGUAGAGGGUAAAAGUUUUUAAUUCUCCUCACAAAUUGAGUUUUCAGAGAAUCGAACUUGUAUUAUCGCCUUAUGAAGAUUGAGAUUAUUUACCGAUCCAAUCAACACCUUAAUUAUUGCUAAUUUUAGAAAUCACUUUAAAUAAAAAAUUAAGUGAGAAAAAUUUUAAUAAGAGAAAUAUUAAAUAAGAGUAUAUAGAGAAAACCUAUUUUCCAGAAUGAGUCAUUGUCAAAAUAUACAGCUUUAUUUUCCAUAUAAGACAUUGGACUUUUUAUUUUGCCUCGCUAUGGCUUUGCAUAUCUCGAACCCAUGACCUUCAGGUCACUGAGUCAUUCUUGCAUAUAGGGGUGGCCACGGUUCCGGAACCGGCAGUUCCGGUUCCGGAAAAACUGGAAUCGGAACCGAACCGAAAAGGUCCGGUUCUGGUUCCGGUUCCGGUUUGGAACCGUCCGGUUCCGAUUCCGAUUCGGUGACAAAACCGACGGUUCCGAUCAGUUUUCCGGCGAAUCGCAUAAUUUUAAAUUUUAAAUUUUGAAGACCGGUUUAAAAAAAUAUAUAUUUGAACAUAAAAAAUUAAAAAAUACACCUAAAAAAUUAAAAAAUACUUCAAUUAAAUUUAUUUUUUUAAAGACUUGAACAUAAUUAUUUUUUUAAAAAAAANNNNNNNNNNNNNNNNNNNNNNNNNNNNNNNNNNNNNNNNNNNNNNNNNNNNNNNNNNNNNNNNNNNAAAAAAAAAAGACUUGAACUUAAUUUUUUUUUUAAAAAAAAAUUAAGUUGCCUACGUAUCCUCUUGGGGUUUAGAGGAAUCAAAGCCUACGUAGUUCUUACUUACCUUAUACCAAUUUCACCUCUUAUACCUUAAUUACUAUUUGCACCACCGGUUGAUGUUCCCAUUGAGGACCCAUCGUAUAAAUCAUAUAAAUCUUCAUUUUCUUUUGGAUUUUCUUGGGCUCUUAGUUCGGCCUUGCUCCAAUCAUCCACGCAUGAUUGUGCUUCUAAUGAAUCGGGUGUCAUACGAGAUCGUGUUUCAUCAAGUAUGUUUCCUCCUUGACUAAAAGCUUGUUCAACCGCAACAGUGGAGACCGGAGCUGCUAAAAUUUGUUUUGCAAGUAAAGAAAGAAUUGGAAAAGUAUUUGCGUGAUGACUCCACCAAUCUAAAAUUGGAAAAUCAGUAUCUGCAUAAUCAUCACCAAACUCAAAACAAGUGAUUAGAUAAUUUUCAAAUUCAGAAAAAGAACUGGAUUCCCUUGUUCUUUUUUGUCUUUGUAGUAAAACUUGUUGAGCAACACCAACACCACUUACCCUUUGUGUUGGAAAUUGUUGAAUAUUAGAUUGAGAAGAAGUAGAAGUAGAUGAACUAGAAACUUGAACAAAUUCAUUAUAUAAUUGCAUAAAAAUUUUUUUAACUUCAUUCAUUACUACAUUUAUAUUAACAUUAUUUUCUACAUCAAGAUUUAAUACUUCAUAAUAAAUAGUUAAAUAAUCACAUAAAACAUCAAGUUUACAUGUAGGAUCAAAUACAAUAACAACAAGAUAAAGGGUGGUAUAUUUUUAAAAUAAGAUAACCNNNNNNNNNNNNNNNNNNNNNNNNNNNNNNNNNNNNNNNNNNNNNNNNNNNNNNNNNNNNNNNNNNNNNNNNNNNNNNNNNNNNNNNNNNNNNNNNNNNNNNNNNNNNNNNNNNNNNNNNNNNNNNNNNNNNNNNNNNNNNNNNNNNNNNNNNNNNNNNNNNNNNNNNNNNNNNNNNNNNNNNNNNNNNNNNNNNNNNNNNNNNNNNNNNNNNNNNNNNNNNNNNNNNNNNNNNNNNNNNNNNNNNNNNNNNNNNNNNNNNNNNNNNNNNNNNNNNNNNNNNNNNNNNNNNNNNNNNNNNNNNNNNNNNNNNNNNNNNNNNNNNNNNNNNNNNNNNNNNNNNNNNNNNNNNNNNNNNNNNNNNNNNNNNNNNNNNNNNNNNNNNNNNNNNNNNNNNNNNNNNNNNNNNNNNNNNNNNNNNNNNNNNNNNNNNNNNNNNNNNNNNNNNNNNNNAAAUAUCACAACAAAUUGAAACACGAAUUUUCAUUUGAGAAAAUAAAAGCUCUAACUCUUUUUUUCCUUUAUUAUAUAAAGAAAUAAUAGUUCGUUUUACAGUAUUUCUUGGUACUCUUUUAGCAGAAGGAUUUAAAGCUUUUUGACAAUAAUUAUUAAAACCUACUUUUUCACCAAAACUAAAAGAUAAAUGUUCCAUAGAAAUCAUUUUUGCUAAUUCUUCUUUUUGUAUUUUUUCAGAAUAUUGAAAUAAAGAAAGGUUAGAAGGUGCGUACCCGGAAAUUUGUGUUUGAGACCGAUCAACUCCUAUUUUUGUUGGAUGUUUUGCCUCCAAAUGCUUCCAAAAUGAUCCAUAGCCACCCGCUUGUUUAAAUUUAUAAGAUUUUGCACAAUAAUUGCAAAUUACAUCGUACAUUUUCUCACCUUUGAAUUUUUUCGUGAAAUGAAUGGCGAAUAUGUCGGAAUUUUGCCUUGCUCUUCCAACAAUUUGUGCUCGUUGCUCUUGCUCUUGCUCUUCCUCUUCUUGUAAUUGCUCAUUAAAUUCGGAUUCUUGAGUUGGAAUUUCCAAAUUUUCAUUUGGAUAUCCCUUAAAAUUAAAUUGGUUGGGAGUGAAAUCAUAGAUGUCGUUUGUAGGGAUAGAUAAAUAUCGUGUUUCUCCAAUCUUUCCUUGCCCUUACCCGAAUUUGAGUUUCCUCCACUUGCCAUUAUAUGAUAAUAAGAUAUAAUUUGAAAAUUUUAAUAAAAAAAAUUAGAGAGAAUAAUAACUUAAUAAGAGAGAUUGUAGAGUAGAGAAGAAUAAUAUAGAGUAGAGCGUAGUAGAGUGUAGUAUAUUAUAGAGAGAGUAAGUAGAGAGAGUUGAGAUUUUUUUGUUAUAAAUUUGUAAAUAAAAUGAGGUAUUUAUAAUAAAUUCAAAAAAUUAUUUUUUCAAAAAUACCCUUGAAACUAGCCGUUAUGUAGCCGUUUAUGGCUGUUGGGGGUAAUUAAGAGAUUUCACAACAAAAUUAAAAAAAAAAAAAACUGGUCUGACAGUUUAUAACGGCUAACUCUGCUGUUUGUGGAAGUUGUGGAACAUAAUGCCCUGCAUAGCUCUCUGCAGAAAUGUAGAAAGCUCUAUCUUUGUAUUCAGGAAAUCUCUUCAGCCAAUUUACCAAGAAUAUAUAAUUAUCCUCUGCUGUUUUUUUUGUCUCCAUUGUUAUCAUAAUCCGAUGUCCUAUUAGAGUAUAUUAUGUUGGUGUAUGUGCAAUUAUUGCAUGGAAUAAUAGUUGGUGUAUGUGCAAUAAUUAUCUUUUUUUUUUUUUUUUUUUUUUUUUUUUUUUUUUUAUGAAAACUGCCAGAAAUAAUGAUUAUUAACCGUUUAAAUUUUAAAAACUACUUACCAAUAAUUAUCUACCGUACGUUCGAACACCAAACCAAUAAUUGAUUUCCUAAAUUUAUAUUCACUUACAGCUUAAUUUUUCCAUAUGAGGCACUUGACUCGUUUGGCCAAUGCAUUUACCCCUCUAUUUUAUUUUUUUUUCAAUCAAUAUUAUUUUUAAGAAUCCAAAUCACUUAUUAAUAUUUAGGCUUCGGUUGUUCCUGUAAAAUAACUUUCAAGAAAAUAUUUUUCACAAUUUCCCAUUAUUAGGGCAUUCAGAAAAAUAAAUCAACGGAAAAUAUUUUAAUCAUUUUUAAGGAAAAUGACUUUCCAAUUUCAAGAGAGGAAAAUAAAUUUAUAUAUUCAUAUUUUUUAAUUUAUUAGUCAUUUAUAGCCACUGCCACCCGUCACCGUGUACCACCAACUAUCAUUGCCGGCUACCCUCGGCCACUACCAUCGGCUUUCAUAAUCUACCAUUUUUUACAUUUUCAUCAUAUUUAACAAAAAAAUUUUUAAAAUACGAAAUUUUUAUUGUUGUUAAUAUUUUUAUGAUCUUAUGAGUUAAAGAUUCUAAUAUUUUUAAUUAUUGAAAUUAAAUAAGAAAAAUAAGUCGUUUGAAAAAUAUUAUUUAAUCCAAAGAUAAUUUCCAAAAACAAACGCAUGUAAUUCAAUAUCAAGGAAGAAUAUAAGAAAAGCAAGUGAAAGUUCAUGGUUUUGUCAUUAAGACCCUUUUAAGUGAUUUUUACUCAUUUGCCUUUUCCCAGAGACAAAUAUUAUGUUAUGGAAACUUUAUUUUCCUCUUUAUAUGGUGUUUUUCACUUCAUUACAGCAAUCAUCAAUAAGAUAACGUUUAACAAUUUUGGGAAUAAUAUGGUUAACUAUAGUUACCUAUAUAUAUAUAUUUAUAUUGCUUUUAUAAUCUCUUGAAAAAGGCACCCAUUAAAAUAAUUAAGUGUAUUAUUGACAACUCACUCGAAUAACUCAACAAAAAGACUUUUGGAUUUGGCAGCAAUUAUUUUAGUUUAUUUUUGUAAGUAAUUUUCAGCUUUCUUCUUCGUGCUAUGUGAUUUCUUGCGACUAGAUUAAAGAAUUUGAGCUUGGAUGGUAGUUGUGAUGGAGUUAGGGAUCUUAAAUACUGUUUAUGCGAGAUUAUUCAAAUAAAUUCCCAAAAUUUAUGAUGCCAUUGAUAUUAUAAAUUGAAUUUUUAUGAAGUAUAGUAUAAGAAUGUAACAGUUGAAGAUAUUGACUUGAGAUUGAGCAUGAAUUUCUGUUUGUGAAGAGCCUUGGGAUUCAAAAACACUGUGCUGAAAAUAAUUCGGGAAUUUUGAUAUUAAUCUCUAAUUGAAAUAUAAACUGAGAUUUAAUGUAAAAAUUGUUAGUUUAUAUGAAUUAAUAACCCCUGAGAUGGCAGUAGUUAUAUGAUGUUGUGAGUGAAUUUUGUGAUGGGGAAUGAAUUAAUUAUAUAUGGCGUAUGAGUUUGGUGAAGAAAAACGAUGAUUUCUUGAAAUUAGAGGUAGCUAAGUGAGUAUUUCCCUGAUUAUGGAUUGUAGCAAGUCAAGAUAUUUGGUGCUUUAGUUAGUUUCACAUUGGUUACAAGAUAUUGGAAGUAUUUUCGUUUGGAAUAAGAUUUAAUCAUAAUAUUCUCAUUCUUUGUGACUGAAAGGAAAAAGGAAGACAUAAAAAUAGUUGAAUGUGAAUUGGAACUUGAAAUUUUCAUUUUUAUUUUUAGAAUAGUAGCUUGGUGCAUUUUUAUUUGUUAUUUAUUUAGUUAGAAAAGAGAAUGAAUGUCAUACUUUUAUUAUCAGUACAAUAUGAUGGGAAUAGAAAUGUCUGUUUUUGUUAACUAGGCUAGUUAAAGCUAAUUGUGUAAAUAUGCAUAUAUAUAUAUAUAUAUAUAUAUAUAUAUAUAACGAUUAAUAAAUGAUUUUAUUUAGAAUAUAAAUUAAAUUUUAUAAAGAAGUUGUGAUGGUUGGAUGACGAUGUUGGUAUUAAGAGGAGGUUGGGUAUUUGAUUUGAUUGAAUACCCGAUGGAUGGACUGUGUAUUGAUUGAAAAUAUUUGACGUUAUUAUGAUAUUUAAUCAGGUGGAAACUCCUAUUUUUAGAGGAGGUUUUGCUGAAAUUUCGACAAAAUCUUGAAUAAAUCAUACUUAAUAAAUAGGUUAUUAGAUUUAUUUAGAAUGAUUUCUUAUUCUUAUUAGGAGGAAUUCUUUAUUUAAUUCUUCUCCCCUAUCAAUUCUACUUCAUAUAGAUUAUUCAAGAUUGUCUUAUGCUUUUAAAAAAAAAAAAAAAAAGAACUAUAAUUAGAGUAUUCCCUUUCUUAUUGCCGCGAGUUAUAAUAAAUAGUAUAUUAUCAUUUACAUCGUGUAUACAUACAUUAUUAUAUAAUGUUACAAUUUCUUACUUAUUUAUUUAUUAUUUAUUUAUUUAUUAAUUUAGUUUAUAGCGUAAAUAUCCAUUAUUUUGUACUUGACUUAUAUAUGUGUAUAUUUGAACAUUUGCAUAACAAUGUUUGUUUAUUUAAUGUGCUUGCAUUUGAAUGCAAUGUUUGAUUAGAUGUGUUGUGAUGAUGAUAUGCUUUGUUUGCGUGGAAUUGAGACGAAGUGGGUCACCAUUGGAUUUUUGAGGGCGGUCUACGAUACCGUCAGCCAUAUAUGGGGAGAUCGGCGCAUCCGUGUAAAUCUGAUGAUAUGGAUUAUAUGAAAAACCACAGGGUGAUCUCUUGUUGGUAUAGAAAGAAAAGAGAGUAAAAAAAAAAAAUUAGUGAGCUGGUCAAGUGAGAAUUAAACCAAUCGGCCAUGUAUGGGGAUCAGUCAUGUAUAAGGAUGAGACCAGUCGGCCAUGUGUUAGUGGUUGAGAAUAAAUUACAUGUUCUGUUCAGUUGGUUCUAACUCAUAAUGCAUAAAUUGGAAAAGUUUCUAUAGGUGUUAGAAGUUGAAGAAUCUCACGUUGCAUAUAGAUGACGUGCUACAUUUUCUCUUCGCAGUACUGGAAUACAUUGAUUUUUUUUUUUUUUUUUUUUUUAAUCAUGAGUUCAUUAUAGCUUUUAUUCUUCAUUGUUCCGACACUGACAUGAGCUGAUUUUAUACAUAUCAAAUCUUGGCUGCAAAUAAUGCAAUUAUUUCUUCAGGUCCGCUAAAACCGGGACUGCUUAGGCCAGAACUCGAGAUUGUCAUAAUCGUCUCAAAUCCAAUCCCUGCUGGUAAGUAUAAAACUUUCAUGGAUUAUUUUCGAUGUUUUUGGUUUCUACAAUCUACAACUGUAAUUUUAUAGAGACUGCUAUUAGUUAAGCUUGCAAAGUUUGGUGAGAUACUCCAAAUUUUCUAUUGAUGUUUUAUUUUCAGAUGUUAUUCAUCCAUGUAUUGUCACUUAGCAUUUCUAAUCCUAGGAGGGUCUGUCCUUCAUACAAAACAUCUAGUCAAGAAUUAAAUGAUCUCAAAUAAUUUCCUAUUCAUGCAAAUCGACAGCUCGUCCGCACCGAGAUGCAAAUGACUUACAUUUGCAAGUGGAGUUGAGAUUUUAUAAGUAAUUAUUUGGCAAUGUGGCUUUAUGGAGCAAAAUUUGAUUUUGAAUGAAAAAAUUACAUCGAAAGAAUCUAUAUGUGUCAAAACCUAAUAAUAAUUUAUUUUCUUUUUCUUUUGCAUUGAGCAGGGGGAAUUUGAACCAGGAUUUAUAGUUAGAUUAUAUAUGCAUUUACCAUCACUCUAUUACGGCUUGUUGCGCAUAAAUCUAAUAAAAUUAAGCUAAUAAUUUGGCUAUUAUUUAUAACAAAUGAACACAAUAAAAUUCUAAUAAAAAGAAUAAAAUUGAUGUACAUAGAUUAUGAAAUUUUUGGAAGAGGCUUGCGAAGAAGAAAGUGGUGAAUAAGUGAAAGCUCACUUGCAGGCUGAAAGGCAGGCACUUCAUGUCCAGCCCCUCUCACUGUAACAAAAGUAAAGUCUCCUUUAUAAAUUUCUGUAUACCCACUAACCUGAAACACAAACAUUCAGUUUUAAUAGGAAAAUUUAACUUUGGCGAGUGAGUUGUUACUUCCAUUAAGCUUGGAUUUGUAAAGGUUGUCAAGAAUUUCACUUUGCCUGUUGCUAAUGCUAUGGCUCUGGGAUGUUAAAUAAGAAAAAAUGAAAAAGAAAAGAAAUAGGUUUUUCCCCAUUGCACGAAAAGGUUUUAGGGUUUUUGAUUUUUGUUUCUUGAAUCCAAAUUAUGUGUUUAUAUUAUGUAGACAGGUGUUAUGAGAGAGAAUAUAAUAUAUUUAAUUUUCACAAUUUUGGGGAAUCACUCCUUUUGUGGCCUCAUCAAGGGCCCUUCUUAAAAAUGGUCCCAGCUGUAUUUUUGUCGGUAAAGGAUGAUUUUAAUAUAAUGCUUUGUUGAUAAAGAAGACUUUAGUCCAUUCAUUAAGUGAUAUGCUCUACCCACUUUAGUUAGUGCUUGUCUACUCCAAAAUGUGAACCCCGUAAUGCCCCGUUUGUUGUUUUUCUAUUUUUCAAUUUUGAAAGAAAUACCUAUCGUUUAAAUUUAUUAUUUUUGUUAUUUCAUAUUUUUAAAACAAAAAAAAGAAUUGAGUGUCGAAAUUUAAAAGAAAAUUCACAAAAUUCAUUCUUUGUUUUUUAAUUCAAUUUCUGAAAAAUAAAUUUUAAUUUAGAAAAAUGGAAAUUGAAAACUAACAAGAUAAAAAUUAGAAACUAAAAUUAGGGUAAACACCACUUAAGGAUUCUUUGUUCCAACGGUAGGUUGGCAUCUAAUACCAAAAAGAUAAGGAAACUACUCAAGCAGUUGAUCAUUUUUUUAAUACAUCAAAAAAUCAUUAAAGGUUAUUACACAUCAAUAGGACAAUAAUAAUAAAAUAAAAAGCAAUGGUGCCAAAGAAAUUCGAGGCUUUAUAGGCACUCUUUGUUUUUUUUUUUUUACGUAAUAAUGGUAUUCUUUUCUUGAAGCUCAAGCGGGUCUUUUCAAUGGAGUAGGUGGGGACCUUAGGAAGGAACCAAUUUCUCUUCAUUCACUGAAAAUAGUCAUAAACACUAGAAAUGCCUGUUUAGCUUUUCAGUUUCAAUCACCUGCCAAUUUUGUGUUUGGUAUUACAACUUCCUUCGAGUCUUUGAUACUGCAACUCCACUUUCAAUAACCGAUCAAUUCUUCAAUUGGUCGAAUUUUCUGCUGAAAAUUUUGAUCAUCCUCUCUUUGUGAUGGAAAUUGCAUCUGCUAUUGGAGGUGCUCUUCUAGCACCUGCCUUUGAGUCUUUGUUUAAUAAGUUGGCUUCCAAGGACUUGCUCAAUUAUGCCCGUGAAGGACAUGUGCUGACUGAAAUCAACAAGUGGAAGGAGAUGUUGGAGAGCAUCUGUGGCGUUCUUGAGGAUGCAGAGGAGAAGCAGACGGUGAGCAAGCCGGUGAAGAUGUGGGUAAGACAGUUGAGGAACCUGGCGUAUGAUUUGGAGGACAUUCUUGAUGAGUUUGAUUUUGAGGCUCGUCGAUCCAAGUUGAAAGCUGAACCUGUGGCUGGUUCAAGUAAGGUGCGAAAGCUCUUCCAUAAUAUUCGUGCGGUCAAAUUCAAUAAAGAGAUGAUUUCCAAGAUAAAGGGAAUUAGUUCCCGACUAGAAGAUAUCACCUCACGAAGAAAUCAACUAGAUUUGAAAGAAAGGCCCGGUAGAAAGAGUGAAAGGAUUCCUGCGACGUGCUUGGUGAAUCAAGCCGAGAUUUAUGGGAGGGAGAAAGAUAAGAAGGCGAUUCUUGAACUUUUGAAUUCUGAAUCAAGUGAUAGAAGGGUUGCUCUGAUUUCUAUAGUUGGACUGGGAGGUGUUGGUAAGACAACUCUAGCGCAGCUUAUCUUUAAUGAAGCUGGAGAGAAGUUUGAUUUGACGGCUUGGGUUUCUGUCGGUGAAGAUUUUGACGUGGUUAGACUUACAAAAACAGUUCUUCAGUCGGUCGGUGGAGAUCUUACUUCCAACGAUUUGAAUUCGCAUCAAUUAGACCUGAAGGCAAGGCUGUCAGAGAAGAAGUUUUUUAUGGUUCUAGAUGAUGUUUGGAACGAGAAUUAUGACCAUUGGACAAUCUUUCUUCGCCCCUUUGAGAAUGGGGCAAAAGAAAGUAGAAUUAUCGUCACAACUCGCAAUCUUGCCGUUUCACAGACGAUGGGUGCUAUUCAAAGUUAUACACUUGGAGUGUUGGAGAAUGAUGAUUGCCUGUCUGUGUUUGCCCAUCAUGCUCUUGGAGUAACAAAUUUUGAGGAGCACUUGGAUCUAGAAGCAAUAGGUAAGAAGAUUGUGGAAAGGUGUCAAGGCUUACCUUUGGCAGCUAAAGCUAUUGGAGGUCUCUUACGAGGUCAACCAACUCGCGAUGCAUGGGAACAAGUGCUAAACAGCGGCAUUUGGGAGGAGAAAGGCGACAUUCUUCCAGCAUUAAAGUUGAGCUAUCACCAUCUUCCACCUCAUCUGAAACGAUGUUUUGUUUAUUGUGCAAUUUUUCCACAAGAUUACAAAUUCGAUGAGGAUGAGUUGGUUCUACAGUGGAUGGCUGAGGGAUUUGUACAGCACGCACAGGAAAUGAAGCAAAUGAAACGCUCGGGUCAUCUAUAUUUCCAUGAUUUAUUAUGGAGAUCCUUUUUUCAACAAUCUACUGGCAAUAAAUCACGAUAUGUGAUGCAUGACCUACUCAAUGAUCUAGCUAAAUCUGUAAGUGGAGAAAUAUGCCUUCAUUUGGACGAUGAUAAGUUGAAGGGCAUAAAAUCACAUGCAAACGUUCGCCAUUCAGCGUUCGCUUGUCAUCGCUAUGACAGGUAACAAAGAUUUGAAGUCUUUUAUGAGAUGAGUAAUCUGCGAACAUUCUUAGCAUUAUCCCCUAAUCAAUGGGGACAUAAUUUUUUAUCUAUUAGAGUGGUGCAUGACAUAGUGCCCAAACUGAAACGUUUAAGGGUGCUAUCACUAGCUCCAUACGAGUUUGAAGAGUUGCCAAGUUCAAUUGGGGCCUUAAGGCAUUUACGAUAUCUGAACUUGUCUUACAACGCCGGGAUUAAAAGAUUACCUAAUUCACUGAUAAAUCUUCAAAACUUGCAGACACUGAAGUUAUGUGCUUGUCGGAAUCUUAUUGAGUUGCCCACAGGCAUUGGCGCUUUAAUCAAUUUGAUGCACCUCGAUCUUAAAGGUACGGAUGCUUUGCAGGAGAUGCCAUUGGGGGUAGCUAAAUUGAUAAAUCUUCAAAUAUUGUCUAAGUUUAUGGUGGGAAAAGGAAGUAAUUGCCUUGGACUUAGAGAGGUAAUGAACCUCCCUCAUCUAGAAGGACAACUUCGUAUUGAAGAGCUACAGAACGUGGCAAGGAUCGAAGAUGCAAAUCUCGUUGAUUUAAAGAAGAUUGAGAAUCUUGGUGAUUUGGCCUUGGUAUGGACCCGCGUGAUUCACCACGCGAAGAGGAUCAUGAAUUCCAGGUUCUCAACUUGCUAGAACCUCAUCAAAAGUUGGAAAGCCUUUCGGUUCAAUUUUAUGGCGGUAAGCAAUUUCCUUUGUGGAUAGGAGAUCCUGCAUUCACAAAUAUGGUGGAUCUAGAGCUUUGGGAUUGUCAGAAUAUUACCUCGCUGCCACCGCUAGGUAGACUAUGUAAACUGAAAAGGCUGUGCAUCAAAGGCAUGGAUGAACUGCAAGAAGUAGGGCUUGAGCUUUCCCCGUCCCUUCAGAUUCUACAAAUUGAGGAUAUGUUGAAGUUGAAGCAAUGGGCUCACUCUGAUGACGUCAAUGUAGAGGUUACAAGAAAAUUUCCCAGACUACGUCGCAUUUGGAUAGGCAAAUGUCCUAAAUUGGUUGUGACAUUGCCUACCUCCCUUCCUUCCCUUGAGGUAUUGGACAUUCGUGGAUGUAAAGAUAUUAUUCUCGAAAGUGUGCACGAUCUAUGUUACCUUCAAACCUUGUCCAUUUCGAGUAUUUCAGCGCUUCAAAAUUUACAUCAAGUGGUUACGCAGUCCUUGGUGGCGCUAGAACAUCUGUCCAUUGAUAAUUGCCGCCAAUUGAUACACCUGUGGCAGGGUUCAACUGAUUUAGACAAACUUUCUAGGUUGAAAUCUCUAAGGAUCCAAGGUUGUGAGAAGCUAAUGUCUUUGAUAAGAGGAGAAGAAGGGAAUUUGCCUUGCAAUCUUGAAAUUUUGGAGAUAAUGUGCUGCAAUGGAUUGGAGAUUCUGCCAAAUGGGUUGCAUAGCCUUGUGUCUCUUAGAGAGCUGAAUAUCUGUCAGUGCCGAAACCUUGUGUCCUUCCCAUCUGCGGGCUUACCUUGUAGUCUUAAAAGUCUCGAUAUCAAAUAUUGUGAUUCUCUGGAGUCCUUGCCUAAGGGCAUUGUGCAUGAUAGUAACACUAGGAAUGAGAUGUCUCAUCUUGAGGAUGUGAGUGUCAGUGGAUGUCCAUCUCUUACAUCGCUUCUAGUUGGUGAAUUUCCCUAUUCAAUUAAAGAAAUUGAAAUUUGCUUUUGGACGACACAACUGUUGGAGUCGUUUCAUAAUAGGUUUUCGCAUCUCACCACAUUAGCAAUAUGUUACUCUAAGUUGGAGUCUUUCCCAGAAAGUGGAUUGGCCAUUCCCAACCUUAGCCGUUUAAAAAUCGCCAACUGUGGGAAUUUGAGGUUGCUUCCCAAUCAAAUCCAAAAUCUCACAUCUCUUCUCGAUUUAGAUAUACAUAGUUGUGGAGGUUUGGUGUCCUUUCCAGAUGAGGGUUUACCCCCAAACCUUCAAUCUUUACAUAUAUGGAACUGUGGAGGUCUGGUGUCCUUUCCAGAUGGCGGUUUACGCCUAAAACUAGGUCAUCUUAUAAUUUCGCAUUGCAAGAAUCUGAACCAGCCAAUCUCAGAGUGGAGACUCAAAAGACUCGCCUCUCUCACCUGUCUCACAAUCGAAGGGCCAUGUCCAAGUACAGAUAUGGAUUCCUUCCCAGAUGAGAAGGGCCUACUGCUUCCCUCUUCCCUAACCUCUCAUAAGCUCGAAGAUAUUAAAAAUCUGAAAUCAAUAUCCAGGGGCAUUCACCAUCUCACCUCUCUUGGUGAUUUAAGAAUUGGAGAUUGCCCUAAACUCCAGUCCUUUCCCAAGGAGGGCCUUCCGACCACACUUGAAUGGUUGAAUAUCUUCGAGUGUCCCCUCCUGGAAAGACGAUGCAGAAAAGAGAAAGAAGACUAUUGGCGCU